This 74376-nucleotide long non-coding RNA is filed under the name Citrus sinensis (sweet orange). Its description in RNAcentral is "long non-coding RNA (CSIN_LNC001122)". The record is from RNAcentral. Lineage: Eukaryota; Viridiplantae; Streptophyta; Magnoliopsida; Sapindales; Rutaceae.
AACCUCAAUCACCCCCACUGCCACCACUCCGGCAACCCCAAUACUACCAUCAUCAUCAACGUCUCUAUCGCGACGAGCACUCUCACAAACCCUAACGAGCACAGCAAACCUAGCAAACCUUCUCCCGACAGGAACCCUCCUAGCAUUCCAACUCCUCACUCCCAUCUUCACCAACAAUGGGUCCUGUGACGCCGCUACACGCCUCUUAACGCUCCUCCUCCUCCUCCUCCUCGCCGCGUCUUGCUUCCUCGCCUCCUUCACCGACAGUGUCAAGUCAUCAUCCAGCGGACAAGUCUACUACGGUUUUGCCACCUUCAAAGGGUUGUUUUUAUUUGAUUAUAUUCAAAACCCUAAUGCCUCAGAUCAUGAUCUGCCAGAUUUAAACAAGUACAGGAUCAGAUUCAUCGACGGUGUGCAUGCAGUUUUGUCUGUCCUUGUGUUUGCUGCUGUGGCUUUGAGAGACAAGAACGUUUUGUCUUGCUUUUUUCCGACGCCGAAACAUGAAACUCAAGAGGUUUUGGACAUUGUUCCUGUCGGAAUAGGGCUUAUUUGCAGCUUGUUGUUUGUGAUUUUUCCCACUAGAAGGCAUGGAAUUGGGUACCCGAUUACUCCAGGCAAAUAUUAACUGUUUAUUGUUUUCUUAAUCUCCUUUUUUUUUAAAAUUUCCUUUAUUCUUUUUUUAUUAAUUUGCUGCACAUGGAAGUUGUUCUGGAAACAGUUAGGUAUGAGGUUAUUAAUGAUUUCGUUAAGCAAGAAAACAUUUCAGUUUGUUUUCUUGUUGGUCAUGCUUUAGCUACUUCCUUGUUUGUAAUAUUAAUUUUUUUUUUAGCAUUAUUGACUUUGAUUCAUCACAGCAACCAAACAUGCGUUGUUCAAAAUUUUUGUGGCUGGCUUAUGUGGGGAAGAAAGCAUUAUUUUAUUCAAGGGUCAGCUAAAAUUCAAUUGAUAAAAGCUACUUGUAACAAUGCUAUGAGGACUUUGUAGUCGAUUGCGUGUUUUUUUUUUUCAAUUGUGAAGGAUUUUGAUGCGUAACAAAAGCACAGCAAACCUAGCAAACCUUCUCCCGACAGGAACCCUCCUAGCAUUCCAACUCCUCACUCCCAUCUUCACCAACAAUGGGUCCUGUGACGCCGCUACACGCCUCUUAACGCUCCUCCUCCUCCUCCUCCUCGCCGCGUCUUGCUUCCUCGCCUCCUUCACCGACAGUGUCAAGUCAUCAUCCAGCGGACAAGUCUACUACGGUUUUGCCACCUUCAAAGGGUUGUUUUUAUUUGAUUAUAUUCAAAACCCUAAUGCCUCAGAUCAUGAUCUGCCAGAUUUAAACAAGUACAGGAUCAGAUUCAUCGACGGUGUGCAUGCAGUUUUGUCUGUCCUUGUGUUUGCUGCUGUGGCUUUGAGAGACAAGAACGUUUUGUCUUGCUUUUUUCCGACGCCGAAACAUGAAACUCAAGAGGUUUUGGACAUUGUUCCUGUCGGAAUAGGGCUUAUUUGCAGCUUGUUGUUUGUGAUUUUUCCCACUAGAAGGCAUGGAAUUGGGUACCCGAUUACUCCAGGCAAAUAUUAACUGUUUAUUGUUUUCUUAAUCUCCUUUUUUUUUAAAAUUUCCUUUAUUCUUUUUUUAUUAAUUUGCUGCACAUGGAAGUUGUUCUGGAAACAGUUAGGUAUGAGGUUAUUAAUGAUUUCGUUAAGCAAGAAAACAUUUCAGUUUGUUUUCUUGUUGGUCAUGCUUUAGCUACUUCCUUGUUUGUAAUAUUAAUUUUUUUUUUAGCAUUAUUGACUUUGAUUCAUCACAGCAACCAAACAUGCGUUGUUCAAAAUUUUUGUGGCUGGCUUAUGUGGGGAAGAAAGCAUUAUUUUAUUCAAGGGUCAGCUAAAAUUCAAUUGAUAAAAGCUACUUGUAACAAUGCUAUGAGGACUUUGUAGUCGAUUGCGUGUUUUUUUUUUUCAAUUGUGAAGGAUUUUGAUGCGUAACAAAGAAAUUAAGUUUAUAAUUAAGUUUGUAAAGUUUUUGUGAAUGCAUAUAACUAUAUAUUAUUAUCCCAUAAAUACCAAUUGCAUCCGGUUAGAAGGGUCAGUGUUCACCUUAGCACUAAACCUAAAUCUCAAUAUAUAGCUAAUUUAAGUAGGUUUAAAAAUUCUGUCAUUGUCGGCCUAAUUGGUUGUUAUAAAAGUCUGGGGGCCAGGAAUCUACCCAAUCAAGCCUUGUAGCCCAAAGACUGAAUUCAAAUCAAGCCCAUUAUGAACGUAGGCUAUUUAGACCCCUUUAUCCCAAAGUCCAUUGGAAAGCUUGGGCGGUUUGAUGAUUUUUGACAUGGAAACAAUUCUAGGAAAAUUAAAAUACAAUUCAAUUUGAUGAUUGAAAUGUAAAUGAAAGGAUUGAUUUGUAAUGCAUCAUAUCAGUGCGUGCCGGAUUUUGUAAGGAAGAUUGGAAGAAUAUUAAUUAUAAGAUUAUUAAUGUAUCACCAUUUGGAGAUAAUAUCAGCAAUUAAUUUAUAGGAUUUUAAUGUACCUUCUCUAGUUAAUGAAAUUGAAGAAUGGAGAUUAAAUCAGCAACAUACACUAUUUUAUGAAACCAGAAAGGUAAAAGUCAGUCAAGUGCUGAAACGACCCACCCAAAAUAGAAUUGAUAAUAAUCUAACUAGUAAUGAUUCUUCCGAAAAUUCAGUAAACUCUCCUUUAUAAAUAUAACACUUCUAGCCCGCAAAUAUGUAAAACAGGCACUCGUAAAAUAAUUUAAUAUACAACCAAUUCUAAUGAUUAGCAUCCUCAACCAAAAUACUGAAUUUUACACAAAAUAUCUCUAGAGUAUCAAAAGAUUAUAUUAUAACUAAUAUUAACAUAUAUUGGUUUAUUCUUAAUCUCAAAAGAAUGAUGCAACAAAAUUAUACAAUCUUAAAAAAAAAAUGAGAUGAUUAGGAUACCCUAACAAAAAUCAUCUAUAGCUUCUAACACUAUUACGUGGCCAAAAUUCAAAAUAUUUAUAGUCGCUGGGUCGAUUUGGUGUACUUGAAACGUCCUGUUAGGGGGCAAAAAUAUAAUAAAACGAGAUGAGUAUAAAACUCAAUGAGCUCAGUGAGUGGAUAGUAGUUCUUGAAAAUAAACUUACUUCAAAAUAAUUAUAUCAUUUCAGUAAAUAACUUUACCAAAAUACCAUAAGAAAACUUAAAUAAACUCAUUUAAUUAUAAAUCAUGUACUGACAUAAACAUAAGAUGAAAUACCACAUAAAAUCAAAGAAGUUAUAAACAUUUGUAAUCUCAAAUAUUGAAAUCUGAAAGCUGUCACUAAACAAGUACCCAAGAGAAUAAUCUUGUCAUACCUGGAUCUUAACGGACGGGCUAUGACGUAAUAUCAGGGAAUCGUUAUGCCCCGGAGUUGCAACGGGUAGACAGGAAAAUGCUAUCUCUUAUCUCAUCAUAUUUGUGCAUGCAUAAGUUAGUCUCCAAAGGACAAAGGCACCCAAGUACACGGCCUAAAAGCCUCUCUGUGUACUUAGAUGGGCCCCAAAGGCCUGUAUCUUAUCUGUAUCAAUUGUAUUUCAAUGUUUAUAUCUUUGUAAUCAUCAUACUGCAUACAUAAAACCCCGAAAGGCAAAAGCACCCAAACACACAGCCUAAAGCCUCUAUAUUUGUUCAGACAAACUCCAAAGGCCUCUCAUCAUAUCUGUCACUGUAAUUGAAGGGGAAAGAUACUGUCCAAUGAUUUUAAAAAUAAUUUUUUAUACUCAUAUUCAUAUACCUUUUAAUCAUACUUUAAAUCAUACUCUUCUUUUUAUUAACACAUUCGAAUCCACUUUUCUUGUCUUUAAAAUAUUAUCAUGUUUUAUUCAAAAUCAAUACGGGAAACGAUUAACCAUAUACUUUUUAACAACAUAGCAAUACGUGAAAUAAAAUUCAUGUCAAGAAAAUCAUUAAGUCAGAGUAUUUAAAAUACUUAUUUCAAAAACAUGCUUUACUAUCAUAAUAAACUAUGAAAAUAAGUUUUAUAUAUUCCACUUAUAGUGACGAUGCUUAAACUUGAUUAUCGUUCACGCCCGCGGAUUGGUUCUCACUCGCAGAUCCUACUAAAUCAAGGAAACAACAUAAUUAUUUUCCAUAAAUCGAAAUUAGGACUAAAUUUACGUAAUAAAGUUUGAAACAAACAUCUAUACAUAAUUUACAACUCCCGUGUUGAUAAAAUUACUAAAAUACCGUCGAAUCCGUAAAUCAUUAAAAUACUUUAAAAUCGUAAAUCACUGAAUUACCCUCGGAAUCGUAAUUACCAACCCAUCCUCAAUUUCAGAAAUUAUUAGAAUAUCUACAGGGUUGAAAUUACAAAAUUGACCUCAAAAUGUGAAAUUACCGAAUUGCCCUCACCGGUCAAUGGUGACAAGAAUUUAAUUGACGGUGACCGAGAAGCUUGGGCUGGACACUUUUGGCUGAGCUAAGCUUAAUGGUAGCGGCAGUGAGCUCCCAUGCGCGGUGACGACACUAGAAUCUAGCUCGACAGCGUGAUCACCCCAACAAUUGGCCGGCGGCGAAUCAGUGGCUUCUAGUGGCUGGGGAUGGUCGGAAAUGAAAUUUGGUGAUGUGUGGAGUAAAACACAACCAGUGGCAUGGCCAGAAACCAGCCAAAUCGCUGCGAACAGAGGCGGCGAUUCCGCGGUUCUUCACAGCUUCGAUUGGUGGGCUUUUGGCUAUUUUCCAGUGGAAAUGACGACAAAAAAAUAACCAGUGGCUCAAGGGCUUUCGAUCGAUACCUCUUUUGGUUAGUGGGGUCGUCGGAAACAGAAACGGUGGCAGGGUCGGUUUUGUGGGUUGGAGUCGGUUUGACAACUUUCCCUUUUUCAAAGUUUUAGAGAAAGCCUGCCUAUAUUAAUCAGACCACAACCAAUUUAGAAUUUAAAUUAUUCCCGCAGUUUCCUAAUUACUAGGUCGCGGUUAUAAUAUCUAGUGCAGAAAGCAGAAUUGGCAUAUUAAAGAGCAAUGUGUAGUCCUUGAGGCAAAUUUUAUGAAGUAAAGCAUACAAGUCGAAAGAUAGCCAAACCAUAAAUACAUGUCCAAAGCUUAACUGGAGUUUAGGUCUUAAAACACAAAAUACGUAACAGCAAAUCCUUAAAUUCUGGCUGCAGUUGCGACGUUUCCUCCUAUUAUUUUAUCUACAUAAAUGUAAAGGAAAGUAAAUAUCAGAAAUGAAAAUCUGGUUUUAGUUAUAUUUUUUCUUUUUAAUUGCUACCGAUAAAAAAUUACUAUGAUUGCGAUUACGGCUAGGUCUUAUUUGAGUACAGAGAGAUCUUUCUCUGCUGAAAUGUAUGACAAUCAAAUUAGACUGGAACUUGUACACCAUCUUAAUUAAUUGUAAACCUUUAAUUUGUGUCUAUUGAGAAAGUGGGAAAAUGCAUACUAAAUUAGGCAAGUAAAGGUUAAGAUAUUAGAGGAAAGAGUAAAAAAUCACUCAUUCAGUCCAUCAGAUUCCAUAAGGAUAUAUUUGGAUGUCAUACCGCCGCUCCAUUUUCUCAAAAGCCUGUAGCCUUUUUCUCAAUUCCGGCUGAGGCCAAUGCAUCUCCAAUUUGCGUAAGGUCUCUAUGACAUAUAGCUCUUCAGGAAGCUUUUUCAAGUAGGCACAAGGGUUGACAAUUAAGCUUUCAAGUUUUGGCAGGGCUCCUACCCCCAUCAUCCAAUCCUCUAGCCAAUACAUUGAUUUCAGGUGCAAAAUCUUAGGCUGCGGAAAACCUUCCGAGCCAACACAAACCAGCUUUCUUCCUGAAUACUAGUUUUGCUUUAGUUUCAACACUUGAAGAUGUGAAAACUUUUCUAGUGUGCGCUUGAAGAUGUGAAAGCUUUUCUUGUAUUGGCAUGGGAUCAUCCUUUAGUUCAGUAUUUGAUAAGCUCAAUUGGGUCAGACUUGCAGGAAAUUGAUACUUUAGACAGGAGCACUUGUGAGAGCUACCACACCUUGGUUUCAUUCACUCGCUUCAAGCAUUCAAGUUUGAGUAGUACGCCCAGGCUUUUGGACAACCUAGACUGAUAGUAACUCAAAUCUCCAGAUAUUCUAAGAGUUUGAAUAUUAGCGAGUUUGCUCAAUAUAUCUCGAGUGCAGCUACUAGGGUGUAUCGCUGAUACGAAAAUAAGAUUUUUCAGAGAGCUACAGAAUUUUUCCAGAGGUGCUGGCACAAUGAUGUGACCAAAGUUGAGAUGCACGAGUUUAUGCAUCUUCCAAAUUUCCUCAGGUGCAUUAUCCACGUAGCUUGAUGGCUAUCCAGUGUAUAAAGGUUUCGAAGGCUGCAUAGUGAUGAAGGAAGGCUUUUAAUGGAAGGGAUAUUGAUAAGAAGCAGUCACAGUCACUAGAGCCACGCAAGUCCAGCAGAGGGCAUAAGCCAAAUCCCAAGUACAUGACGUGAAGACUUUCGCUUUAUCCUUGCAUGGUUCAUUCAUGCAUGAGUUCACGUGAGAAUAAUGAAUCAAAGUUGUUAGAGCAAGAAUCAAGGGAUUUGAUAGCUUCAACAAUCGUGUAAGAAUUGUGGAUAAGAUCAAACCCUUAGGAUUAAGGAUAAGAUCAAAUCCUUAGUAGUUGUUGUUUAACUUUAUGUUUCGUAAAAGUAGCAAGGUGUUAAUUCAGUUUACGUAUUUUGAUUACAGCCUUGAUUGUAGGCUGAGUUUGUUAUGUUAGUAUUAUAAAUAAAGGCUCCAGUAUAAUAAAAGGGCAUUCAGUCAAUUAAAUCAAUUCAUCUUGGUCUUUUUCUCGCCAUAAGCAGAAAAACUCUUGUGGCUGUUAGCAAACUUUGGUUGGGACCUAUCAUUUGUUAUCAUAGCAAGGCUAUCAAUGACGACUAACAAGGAACGCAUUGAACGAAUUAUAGCUGAUCUUGGGAGCUUGCAGGACAGAAUGGAACAGAUGGAGGUGGGAAUCAAUGACAAGUUGUAGCGUCUUGAGGAGUCAAUAAGGAAACUCGUGGAAUCAAACAGUGCAACCAAGGGCACCACCAAUCGUGACUCAACUGAAAAUUUAGGCUCUACAAAACAUGUUUGUGAGGAAAGAGAUGCAGGGCGACAUAUGCCUCCAACAUGGAUUACCAAGCUAGAAUUUCCCCGUUUCACCGGCGAUGAUCCAACAUAAUGGUACAGCAGGGUAUCUCAGUACUCUGAGUAUCAGGAAACUAUGGAUGAACACAAGGUAACCUUGGCCGCAUAUCACUUAGAGGGAGAGGCAAAUCAGUGGUGGCAAUGGAUGCAAAGGGCUUACGAAGAAAAGCGACCAGUUACGUGGAAAAUAUUUGUUGAGGAACUAUGGGCACAUUUUGGACCGACAGAGUGAGGAUUUUGAUGAAGCUUUGUCUUGGGUCAGGUAGAUGGGAUCAUUACGUGAAUAUCGUAAGCAGUUCGAAAGACUUGGGAACCGAGUUCAUGGGUGGUCUCAAAAAGCAUUGGUGGGAACAUUUAUGGGGGGCUUAAAACCAGAGAUUGCAGAAGACAUUCGUAUGUUCAGACCCUACACAUUAAAGGAAGCCAUUAGUCUAGCACGUAUGAAGGAUGAUCAAAUGGCACGACAGAAGAAAAUAAUCAGAUCACCAAUUCCUAUUCGGUCCCCAUCUGCUCUGAAUCGAGCGACACCAACAACACCUUAUAAGAGGCUAUCAUGGGAAAAGAUGCAGAUAAGGUGAGCCCAGGGAUUGUGCUUCAAUUGUAAUGACAAAUUCACCGCUGGCCACAAGUGUACCAAAGCACAAUUACUAAUCAUGGAAUGCAAAACAACAUCGGAAGAGGGUUUGUAUGAAGAAUUCGCGGCCGAGGAGCCAAUAAUGGAAUCAAUAGAAACAGUAAACCCUAAACUUACUUUAUAUGCUUUGUCUGGAUGGGCUGCACCACAAACUAUGCGCGUUAUGGAAAAAAUUAGGCAGUAUACAAUUGUCAUCCUCAUUGACAGCGGGUCCACACACAAUUUCAUCAAUUCACGCUUAGCAAAUUUGUUGCAAUUGCCGAUGAAGGCAACAACAUCUUUUUCUAUACAAGUCGCUAACGGGGAGAAAUUAACAUGCCAAGGGAUGUUUGAAAAGGUAAAAAUAUUAAUCCAAAAUAUUCCUUUUUCUCUCACCGUGAAUUCCCUGCCAAUAACAGGAUUGGAUAUGGUCUUGGGGAUCGAAUGGCUCGAGACACUGGGCUCUGUUGUGUGCAAUUGGAAAGACUUUACUAUGGAAUUUGAAUGGGAGAACAAAAAGCAACGCUUGCAAGGAAUUAAUCCUCACGCUAUGCGGUCAACAUCAGUAACAGAAGUUGUAAAAGAAAUUAAACAAGGGCAAGGAGUCUACACUAUAUGCUUUCACACUUCAUUAGAAGACUCUUUUGACAAGACUCCAAUUUGCAUGUGACAAAUAUUGGUCGAAUAUUCAGAUUUAUUCUAGGAGCCUACGCAACUACCACCCUUACAUGACAUUGACCACAACAUUCCAUUAAAAGAGGGAACUGAGCCUGUGAACGUGAGACCCUAUCGAUAUGCAUAUUUUCAAAAAGCAGAGAUUGAGAAACAAGUACAGGAGAUGUUAAAUUCAGGAUUGAUAAGACCAAGCACCAGUCCCUUUUCCUCCCCCGUAUUGUUGGUCAAGAAGAAAGACGGUAGCUGGCGAUUUUAUACUAACUACCGUGCCUUUAACCAAGCUAUAAUCAAGGACCGCUUUCCGAUAUCGACCGUUGAAUACAUGUUAGAUGAGCUCCAUGGUGCUGCUUACUUCACCAAGUUAGAUUUACGAGCAGGGUACCACCAAGUACGUGUAAAUCCAACCGACAUAUACAAAACGACAUUUCAGACUCACAAUGGCCACUACGAAUACUUGGUGAUGCCGUUCGGGCUGUGUAAUGCCUCAUCCACCUUUCAGGCAAUCAUGAACUUUGUCUUUCGUCCAUAUCUCAGAAAAUUCAUUCUAGUUUUUUUUAUGAUAUACUAAUCUAUAGUCCUACAUGGAGCACUCAUUUUCCCAAAAUUGAAAAAACAUCUUCUUUAUUGCAUUUAAUUGAUAGUGAUGUAUGUGAUAUGCAUAGUAAUCCUAUUAAAGGUGGUAAAAAAUACUUUAUAACAUGUAUUGAUGAUUUUUUCAAAAUAUUGCUAUGUGUAUUUAUUACAUUCUAAAGAUCAAAAUAUUUAUGUGUAUUUAUUAAAAUUUAUAAAAAUGAAGUUGAGAAUUUUUGUGACACUAAAAUUAAAUGCCUUAGAAGUGGUAAAGGAGGUGAAUAUGCAUUUUCUGAAUUUUUUGAAUCUGUUGGCAUUGUACAUGAAACUAGCACUGCAUAUACUCCACAACAAAAUGGCAUAGCUAAAAAGAAAAAUAGGACAUUAAUAGAAAUGGUUGAUGCUAUGCUUUUUAAUGCUGGACCUGGUAAAGGUUUUUGGGGUGAGCUAUUUUAAUUGCAUGUCAUAUCUUAAAUAGAGUGCCUAAUAAGAAAACAAAGGUGACACUAUAUGAAUUAUGGAAAAAGAGGAAGUCUAAUCUUUCUAAUUUAAGAGUUUGGGGUUGUAGAGCCAUUGUAAGACUAUCUGAACCUAAGAUAAAGAAAUUAGGAGAAAGGGGCAUUAAAUGCAUAUUCUUGGGAUGUGCUGAGUAUAGUAAAGCUUAUAGGUUUCUUGUAACAGAACCUAAUAGAUUUUUUGAGAUCAAUACUAUAAGAGAAUCUAGAGAUGCAAUAUUCUAUGAAAAUAGAUUUUCCACUAUACCAAAAAGUAUUGAUUCUCCAGAGAAUGAUAAACAAAUAGAAAUUGGUCAAAAGCGUGAUGCUACUAAUGAGCAAAAUCAAUUGUGAAGAAGUAAAAGAAUAAGGACUAUAAAAUCCUUUUGACCAAAUUUUAUAGUCUAUUUAGUUGAAGGGACAAGAGACUCACAAUCAAAACAGAGUCUGAUCCCACUUACUAUAGAGUCUGAUUCCUUCACUUAUGAAGAGGCAAUGAAGUCUCAAGAUGCUGCUUUUUGGAAAGAGGCCAUUAAUGAUGAAAUCGACUCUUUUAUGUGUAAUAAGACUUGGAAAUUAGUUGAUUUACCACCUAGCUCUAAUCCUAUAGGUUGUAAAUGGAUUUUCAAAAAGAAGAGGAAAGUUGAUGGAACAAUUGAGAGAUUUAAAGCAAGACUAGUAGCUAAAGGCUCUACACAAAAAGAAAGCCUUGAUUAAUUCGUUAUUUAUGCACAUGUUGCAAGAAUUACUACUAUUAGAGUCUUGAUUGCUUUGGCUUCAAUUUAUCAUUUUGAAAUCCAUCAAAUGGAUGUAAAAGUAGCUUUCUUAAAUGGAGAAUUAGAUGAGGAAAUUUACAUGAAAUACCAGAAGGAUUUGUUAUGCCAGGACAAGAACAUAAAGUUUGUAAACUAGUCAAGUCUUUAUAUGGUCUUAAACAAGCUCCAAAGUAGUGGCACGAAAAAUUUUGGCAGAGUGAUUGUUUCAAAUGGAUUUAAUAUUCAUGAAUCUAAUAAAUGUGUAUAUAGCAGAUUCAAUGGAAAUAAAGGUGUGAUUAUUUGUUUAUAUGUAGAUAAUAUGUUAAUUUUUGGUUUUGAUAGCGAGAGUAUUAAACUCACUAUUUCAUUAUUGUUAUCUAAUUUUGAUAUGAAAGACAUGGGGCUUGCGGAUGGGAUUUUGAGGAUUAAAAUUAUAAAAAAUGAGCACGACCUAAUAUUGACCCAACCACAUUAUAUUGAGAAGAUUCUAAAGAAAUUUAAUUAUUAUGAUUGUAAGCUUGUGUCAACACCUUUUGAUUCAAACAUAAAAUUGUACCCUAACACUAGUAUAGCAGUAUCCCAAUUAGAAUAUGCGCAUGUUAUUGGGUGUCUUAUGUAUGUGAUGACUUGUACUAGGCCUGACAUUGCUUUCGUUGUGGGAAAGUUGAGUAGAUAUACUAGUAACCCAAGCCAAGCACACUGGUAAGCAAUGUAUAGAAUUCUAAAAUAUUUAAAACAUACAAUGGAUUAUGAUAUAUAUUACACUGGAUAUCCUUUAGUUUUGAAAGGAUUUUCGGAUGCUAGUUGGAUUACUGAUUGAGAUGACCAUACAUCCAUAAGUGGUUGGAUUUUUAAUCCCGGUGUGAGAGCUAUUGCAUGGGGCUCAAAGAAGUAAACUUGUAUAGCAGACUCCACUAUGACUGGAGAAUUUGUAGCUUUGGCUUCAUGUUGCAAGGAAGCUGAAUGGUUAAGGAAUUUGCUUAUAGAAAUUUCUAUUUGGCCUAAACCAAUGCCUCUUGUAUCCAUUCACUAUGAUAGUGAGGCAACUUUGUCAAGGGCAUAUAGUCAAAUCUAUAAUGGAAAGUCUAGGCACAUUGAUCUAUUUUGUUAUUGAUUUUUAGUGAUACAAUAUGAAUGUUCCUAGGUUAUAGGGGAUGGUUUUCACCAAAGGAAUUUUCUUGUUUCAAUAACAACGGCAAAGAAAUAACAAUAAUGAUCCUGAUUAGAAUGUUUUGAAAAUGUGGCUUUAUAUUUGUUGAAUCCGAUAGCAUUAACGUUCCUAGCAUUAACGUUCCAUCUUCACCUGUUAACACUCUUUUAAAUCAUUUAGAAAAUAGUUGAAGGUUUAUUGGUCAUAUUGUAUAAUUGUGGGGAAUGGCAAAUGUAAAUAAAUACAAUAAUUAAGGUGGAACUUUAUUAUAUAAAGUAAUUUGUUUACAACUCUGUAUGUAGGAAGAAAAUAAUAUUAAUAGGUAAACUACAUAAAAUAGUGUACUUCAAGGCACGUUACAAAUGUCGCUUUCCUUAAGACAUUUUUUGCCCCCACCAAUUGAGUGAUGCACAUGGGUUAAGCAAAUACGCCUUCAGGAUACAAUGAAGCAUUUGUUUGUUUGCUUGCGUUGUUCAUCGAUUAAAGCAAACCAGAAUACUCUUGAAUGUUGCAAGCCUACCAAGAAACAAUAUAUUAUUCAUGCAGAAAACGAUAUAUUUGAUUUUUAAUGCACAAAAGAAAUGAAUGUUUAUGUUGAAAUUCGUUCUAGAAAAGAGGGCUAAGAAAAGAGUGGUGUGAGAUCAUUAUUUUCAAAUCUAAAUGGCUUAAACAUGACCUCUAUUUAUAGAUAUACUUGUGCCACUUCAUUUGGGUUGUCAUCUUUAAUGAUACCCCUUCAUUUAUGGCCAUUUGAUCAAGAUUUAAUUUUAACCAAUUGUCCAAAAUGAACCAUCACCAUUUCAUAUGAAAUGUCACCAUGAAAUUAUGCAUCUCUAAGUGAAAUGUCUCUAUGAAAAGUUAUAUCCUUAAGUGAAAAGAUACAUUUUCUAUAAGGCACAAUUAAUUGGACAUGUUUUUACAAUAAGACAUCAUUGAUUUAGACAUGCUUUUACAAUAAGUUACCAUUUAUUUUGAAAUUUUUUCCAACAAGUCCCCACAAUUUUCAAAAUAAAUGAAUUUUAAAAAAUUAUCUCGCACAGGCUUGGAAAACUUAUGCAUAGAUACAGGUGUCUUUUGGACUUGAACCUUCACUUAGUGAAAACACAUCAAGGUCCCAAAAAUUCUCAACUUCAUUUUUAUAAAUUUUAAUAAAUACACAUAGCAAUAUUUUGAUCUUUAGAAUGUAAUAAAUACAUAUAGCAAUAUUUUGAAAAUCAUCAAUAAAUGUUACAAAGUAUUUUUUUACCACUUUUAAUAGGAUUACUAUGCAUAUCACAUUCACCACUAUGAAUUAAAUGCAAUAAAGAAGAUGUUUUUUCAAUUUUUGGAAAAGGAGUUCUUGUGAUUCUAGUCUGUGCACAAACUUUACAUUUUUCAUGCAUAUCAUUUUCGUGCUUAGGGAUUAAUUCUAAAUUACCCAUAUCAUGCAAUUUUCUAAUAUUCACAUGUCCUAAACGAUUAUAUCACAAAGAUAAUGAGUCGACCAUAUAAGCAGAAGAAACAUUCAUAUUAUUGAUAUUGAGUUUAAACAUUCUUUCAUACAUGUAUCCUUUUCCAGCAAAGGUACCACCCUUAGAUAAUAUAAAUUUGUUUCACUCAAAAACAAGUUUAAAGCCAAACUUAUUAAGAAGGCUACCAGAUACAAGAUUAUUUCUAACUUCAGGAACAUGAUAAACAUCAAUAAGAGUUAAGGUUUUUCCAGAAGUGAACUUUAGUUACACAUUGCCUUUUCCUUUAAUUAUUGCAGUAGAGGAAUUUCCAAUGUAAAGAACACUUCUAUCAUCCAUUGCUUUAUAAGAUUUGAAAAUGCUACGAUCCUUGCAUACAUGCUUGAUUGCAGCAGAAUCUAUACACCAUGCAUUAUCAUCUUCAAGAACAUUAAUCUCAGAUAUCAUGGCCACAAAAUUUGUGUUUGAAACUUCCUUUUGCUUCUUCAGAAGUCGACAAUCUUUUUUGAAGUGGCCAGGUUUUCCGCAGUGGUGGCAUGUACCCUUCUUUUUCUUUUUGUCAUUUUGAUUCUCUUUGGAAUCAAACUUUCUCUUUUGGUUAUUCUUAGGGUGAUUAGAAUGCUUAAACUCUUUCCCCUCCUCCACGACAUUAAUUUUAGAGGAUAUAACAGUCUGGUCAAGAUUAACCUUCAAAUUUUAAAAUUUUUCAUAAAUAUUUAGGAAUAAAAAAUCUGCUGUACCGUACAUCCGCCUUGGCCGUACAGCAGAAGAGGGAGGAAGUUUAUCAAUAAUUGAAGAGACAAUAAUAGACUCAUCCAUUUUCAUGUUGUGAUGGUUGAAUUGAUCAAGAAUAUGUAAAAUCUCGUUAUAUUGUUCAACCACAAGUCUAUUAUCAACCAUUUUUUAAUUAAAAAAUUUAAAAGUGAAGAAUUUCUUACUUGUGGCAUCUUUCAUCAUGUACUUAGCUUCUAAUGAGUCCCAUAUUUCUUUUGCUGUAGGUUUGUUGUGGUAUUGAUCAAACAAAGUAUCUAAUAUGGCAUUGCAAAUGUGUCCCUUGCACAUGUAGUCAUCUUGCUCCCACUUCUGCCACACUCCGGAUUUUGCUAAUGUCUCAUCCUCAUGUUCUUAAGGCUUUGGUGUUGUGAGAAUAUAGACCACAUUCAGACUUAUCAAUAAGAAAUGCAACUUUUUCUGCUAACGAAUAAAGUUGCCACCAUCGAACCACUCCAAUUUGACAAAAUCUAUUGCGAAUUAUCGAAGAGAUGAACUUGGUGCUACUGUUGCAGAAAUAACAUCUUAAGAUUGUUGGCUGUAUGUGUAAUUGUGGGGAUGGCAAAUGUAAAGAAAUACAAUAAUAAUGGUGGAACUUUAUAAUGUAAAGUAAUGUGUUUACAACUCUGUAUGUAGGAAGAAAAUAAUAAUAAUAGGUAAACUACAUAAAAUAGUGUGUACUUCAAGGUACGUUACAAAUGUUGCUUUUCUUAAGACAUUAUUUGCCCCCACCAAUUGAGUGAUGCACAUGGGUUAAGUAAAUACGCCUCCAGGAUACAAUGAAGGACUUGUUUGUUUACUUGCGUUGUGCAUCGACGAAAGCAAACCAGAAUACUCUUGAAUGUUGCAAGCUUAGGAAGAAAAUAAUAAUAAUAGGUAAACUAUAGAAAAUAGUGUGUACUUCAAGGCAUGUUACAAAUGUUGCUUUCCUUAAGACAUUAUUUGCCCCCACCAAUUGAGUGAUGCACAUGGGUUAAGCAAAUACGCCUCCAGGAUACAAUGAAGGACUUGUUUGUUUGCUUGCGUUGUGCAUCGGCGAAAGCAAAACAGAAUACUCUUGAAUGUUGCCAGCCUAGUAAGAAACAAUAUAUUAUUCCUGCAGAAAACAAUAUAUUGGAUUUUUAAUGCACAAAAGAAAUGAAUGUUUAUGAUGAAAUUCGUUCACGAAAAGAGGGCUAAGAAAAAAGUGGUGUGGGAUUAUUAUUUUCAUAUCUAAAUGGUUUAAACAUGACCUUUAUUUAUAGCUAUACUUGUGCCCCUUCAUUUGCGUUGUCAUCUUUCAUGAUACCCCUUCAUUUAUGGCCAUUGGAUCAAGAUUUAAUUUUAAUCAAUGGUCCAAAAUGAAUCAUCACCAUUUCAAAUGAAAUGUCACCAUGAAAUUAUGCAUCUCUAAGUGAAAUGUCACCCUGAAAAGUUAUAUCUUUAAGUGAAAAGAUACAUUUUCUAUAAGGCACAAUUAAUUGGACAUGUUUUUACAAUAAGACAUCAUUCAUUUAGACAUGUCUUUACAAUAAGUUACCAUUUAUUUUGAAUUUUUUUCCGACAAGGUUCACGUCCAUGGAUUAAGAGAUUCUCUUGAUUUAAUCUUAGCCUGAGUAGAAAUUCAAGUGUUGAUUGGUGAUUAAUAAAUUUAAAAAAUGAAGAAGUUCAAAAUCCUAUUUUUACACUAUUACUACAUAAUACAUGACAUAAGAUUAUUAAAAACCAGGGGUGGCAAAAUGAAUAUUCGAAUCGAAUCCUAAACGAAUUGGGUCAAAAUUAUGUGGAUUCGGAUUCAAUUCGUUUAUUAAACGAAUUGGAAUCUCAGGAUUCGGAUUCGAUUCGUUUAUUAAAUAAAUAUUUAGUUCGAUUUGUUUAAUUUGUUUAAUAGAAUUAAUAAACGGAUCGAAUUGAAUCAAAAUUCGUUAAUUAUUUGUUAAUUAACCCUAAUAAUAAACGAAUCCAUAAAAAAAUCGAAUUGAAUAUGAAUUCGUUUACAAAGAUUAAAUAAAUAAUCCAAACCAUAAAAUCAAGGCAUGUUACAAAUGUUGCUUUCCUUAAGACAUUAUUUGCCCCCACCAAUUGAGUGAUGCACAUGGGUUAAGCAAAUACGCCUCCAGGAUACAAUGAAGGACUUGUUUGUUUGCUUGCGUUGUGCAUCGGCGAAAGCAAAACAGAAUACUCUUGAAUGUUGCCAGCCUAGUAAGAAACAAUAUAUUAUUCCUGCAGAAAACAAUAUAUUGGAUUUUUAAUGCACAAAAGAAAUGAAUGUUUAUGAUGAAAUUCGUUCACGAAAAGAGGGCUAAGAAAAAAGUGGUGUGGGAUUAUUAUUUUCAUAUCUAAAUGGUUUAAACAUGACCUUUAUUUAUAGCUAUACUUGUGCCCCUUCAUUUGCGUUGUCAUCUUUCAUGAUACCCCUUCAUUUAUGGCCAUUGGAUCAAGAUUUAAUUUUAAUCAAUGGUCCAAAAUGAAUCAUCACCAUUUCAAAUGAAAUGUCACCAUGAAAUUAUGCAUCUCUAAGUGAAAUGUCACCCUGAAAAGUUAUAUCUUUAAGUGAAAAGAUACAUUUUCUAUAAGGCACAAUUAAUUGGACAUGUUUUUACAAUAAGACAUCAUUCAUUUAGACAUGUCUUUACAAUAAGUUACCAUUUAUUUUGAAUUUUUUUCCGACAAGGUUCACGUCCAUGGAUUAAGAGAUUCUCUUGAUUUAAUCUUAGCCUGAGUAGAAAUUCAAGUGUUGAUUGGUGAUUAAUAAAUUUAAAAAAUGAAGAAGUUCAAAAUCCUAUUUUUACACUAUUACUACAUAAUACAUGACAUAAGAUUAUUAAAAACCAGGGGUGGCAAAAUGAAUAUUCGAAUCGAAUCCUAAACGAAUUGGGUCAAAAUUAUGUGGAUUCGGAUUCAAUUCGUUUAUUAAACGAAUUGGAAUCUCAGGAUUCGGAUUCGAUUCGUUUAUUAAAUAAAUAUUUAGUUCGAUUUGUUUAAUUUGUUUAAUAGAAUUAAUAAACGGAUCGAAUUGAAUCAAAAUUCGUUAAUUAUUUGUUAAUUAACCCUAAUAAUAAACGAAUCCAUAAAAAAAUCGAAUUGAAUAUGAAUUCGUUUACAAAGAUUAAAUAAAUAAUCCAAACCAUAAAAUUUUCAUCUCAUUUAUAUAUUGUCUUAUUAUUAUUUAUAAUUACUAGAUUAACCUUCAAAUUUUAAAAUUUUUCAUAAAUAUUUAGGAAUAAAAAAUUAAUUUGAUUAAAUGAAUAAUAAAUAGAUUGUAUUCAGUUCAUUUAUAACCCGUUUAUUAAACGAAUUCUGAAUGAAUAAACGAAUCAAUGUACUCAAACCCGGGUUCGAUUCGUUUAAUUAACAAAUCAAAUCAAAUUUGCUAAUUUAUUAAAUGAAUCAAUUUUUUCAAAUACAAACCCAUUUAAUUCGCUUCAAAUUGAAUCAAAUAAACGAAUCCUGACCCAAAUUACCAACCCUACUAAAAACUCAUGAGAGCUUAGAUCAAGAGAAUAUCCUAAUCUAAUAUCCAUAUCUCCUUUCUUCAUCAACGCAUCAAGCACACUUUUAUUGUUAGAGCACUAGCAAUAUGAAAACGUAAUUAAAAGAUGUGCUCUGCAAAAAAAUCAUAUCAAAUUUCAGAUUUUUUUCCCUGUUAAUUAUUUCUGAACUUAUUUGAAUUUCAACAAAAAUCAUCAUUCUUAGCAAAUCCUCUCCCUAACGUUUCUCUAAUUCUAAAUCCGUCAAUGAUGAGAAAAGUUUUUUCCCCAAAGUUAAACUGAUCGAAGCUAAAUAUAUAAUUAUUAGAAUCUAAAAUAUCCGUGCCCAAAUUUCAUUAAUUAUAACAUAUAUAAAAUAAGGAAAUUGACUGCAGCAAAAACUACGAGAAUCCAGAUUCCUUAAGUAAAAUAUUAUUUAACUUCUAAUUUCAUUACAAAAUAGUUCACAAGUUAAUUAACAUCAGCAUUGGUUAUCAAACUUCAUGCUUUGAUAAGCAAAAUUCAAAAGAAUUUGUAAUGAAAUCACUUACCAACAGCAGAGAAACAAUCGAGCUAUUUCCUGCAGUAACGCCAAUGAUAAUAGAAGAAUCAAUUGUUAGGAAAUUAAGACUCCUCCCAAGAUCUCUCCAAACAAUUUGUCAAUCAACAAAUUACUAGAAAAAUUAAAUAGAGAAAACACCAAUCACAUAACACAAGAUUUACGUGGAAAACUCUAAAUCCGGAGAAAAACCACAACUGUUGUCAAAAGACAACCAGACAAAGAUAUUCAUUAUGUGAAAAAUUUUUACAUUCACGUUCUCAUAAAUAAUUUUCUCACAUUAUAUCUACAUGCUUAAGAACGUUUCUCUCCCAUGUUGGAAGCUCUCAAUGCUUCUUUUGCAUUCACCAAUUAAUUGCUCUCAAUUGGAUGCAUAAAUGAGAGGGAGAUCCCCUCUAUUUAUAAACAAAAAUUUGCCUAAUUAUGCCCACCAAUUCAGAAUUGGUGGCUUAGCCAUCAAAUUUGAUCAACAAAUUUGGUCAAUAAAUUUGGUGCUUAAACCACCAAAUUUGAAGUCACCUUUUUUUUUAUCUUUUUUUUUAAUCAAUUUUCAACAAUCUCCACCUUAAUUAAAAAAAAAAAAUUUAUAACUAUUGCUAUGAAGCACUGUCUUCACCAAUAGUCAUAAUUCUCAGCAUAGAGAAUUAUCAUACUCCACCAUAAGGAGUAUAUCACUCAGAAUCAACCAUUCUAAGAUUUUUUUCUUAGCACAUGUUGAAUAUAUCUACUGAAAAUUAUGGUGUAACUUUCAUUUUGGCUUUCCUAGAAGUUUAUUAGUGAUUGCCAUAUCUUCCACCACACACCCUGCAUUAACACUAACCAUGCCUUGUGUGCAAACUUAUGGACCCUGCUAAUAGUAACAUGUUCUCUUUCAUGGCAACUUGGAGAAUAUUAAUAUCUCAUUUACUGAUUCUGGAGCAAUUAGUCUAGCCCGCUCCACCUUCUGUACAACUUCCUUAAGGUAAUUGUCCACACCUAUAGAUCCUUGUGCAUGCCAAAUUAGAUACACCUUUGACUUGAAUUCUUUAUAAGAAAAAAAUCAUUCUCCCAUUAACUUUUCAACAACAUCAAACCCACUGAGUUUGAAAAACAUUAGUUGCUGACAUAUAUGCUUUAUAGAUCAGCCUUUGGUCUUCACCACGAACUAUUUGGAUUGACUACCAUUGCUUCAUGUGAAUAGUAUUGUAUACGGGAACAGUACCAUAUAAGUGAACAGUAGCCCCAACACCAAGCUUCAAUCAAUGGCUCUGAUAUCACCGUUAGGAAUUUGAGAUUCCUCCCAAGAUCUUUCCAAGCAAUUUGACAAGCAACAAUUUAAUAGAAAAAUUAAAUAGAUAAUACACCAAUCACACAACACAAGAUUUACAUGGAAAACUUAAAAUCUAGAAAAAAAACCACGGCCAUUGCCAAAAGAUAACCAGAGAAAAAUAUUGACUAUGUCGAAAAUAUUCUCAGAAAUAAUUUUCUCUCACCCAAGCCCCAAAUACAUAAUCCCGAGAAAUAUUCCUUAAUAAAGCAAACUCAUAAUACCCAUAUUGAGGAGCCAAAUACUCCUACAAUACAUAUACAUGCUCAAGAACGUUUCUUGUCAUGCACCGCUUGAAAAAAAAAUAAAAAAGAAGCCAAAUGUGGCUGAUUUCAAAAGCAACAGCCAGCUGCCUGCUUCAUGAUUUCACCUACCUGCUUCACUUGUUUUUAUGAGUCGGUGGCCAUAUAUAUAUAUAUAUAUAUAUAUACAUAUAUAUAUCCAUAUAUAUAAUUUGAAGGAGAUGAAAGCAACUCUAAUUUUGUGCAUCCAUUUUCGAAGUGAGGCAGAGAAGAAAAAGAAGAAAACCAGGAGAAAAGAGAAGAAAAAGAAAAGAAAUAAGAAGAGAGGAACGAAAGGCAAAGAGUGAAGGAAAAGAAAAAUAAAUAAUUAAGUUACGGGAAUUGAAAUUGGAUAGUUAGAAUUAUAUCUGUUGGAUCAGUGGGUAAUAGAUUUAUGAAAUUUUAGUGUUAUGAUUUAAUUUACAUGAUACCUAUAAGUUUUUAUAUUAGUCCUAAUAGUUAAUUUUUGAACCUUGUAUUUUAGGAGAAAUCCAAAAAUCCAAAGACUCACAACAGCCCCAACGAACUCCGGAGUGAAACAAGAUCUGUGAGUGGAUACUAUUAUUACUUUUAUGUAUUUCACGAAGCAUUUAUGUUUGAUAAUACGAUUUAAUAUCAUGUUAUGAUUACAUGUACGCAUAUUAUAUGUUUGAUUGAGUCAUGAGAUGUGAUUGCCAGUCACCAUAUAUGUGCCCUUCCCCUUAGACUUUGGCCAUACGUAUUGAGAGUUAGGUUAUUCUACCUGCACGAGAUAGUUUAAUCACACCGAGUUUUGAGAGGUUUUUCCCCCGCUCCACUUGUGCGAUAAUAAUUUUGGCGAGUAUUGAGAUUUAUUUCCCAUGGGCACUAUUUGGUGCAGUUUUGUCAUGUACAUACAAUUUAAUGUUUGUUUAUGCAUUAUAUUUAGUGUGGAGUUAUGUCACAUGAUUGUGUAUAUACCCUAGUACGAUAUUUUAUUUUUAUAUACAUAUAAUUAUAUCUAUUCACUGAGCCGCAAGCUCACUAUUUUCCUAUUUGCCCCUUUUCUCCCACGAUUCCGCAGAAUUUCGUGCAGAUCAGUUCUAGACAAGCGAGGUUGGGCCAUGAGACACAUUACUGAAUGUCUUGCAUUUUGAGCACGUUUAUGUUGCUUAUGAUUCUACACACACACACACACACACACACACACACACACACACACACAUAUAUAUAUAUAUAUAUAUAUAUAAUUAAUUUUAGUGUGAGUAUAUAUAGUGACACAUGAACUGUGCAAGUUUUGAAUAUAUAUUUUCAUAUAAGACACAGAGGGUGUUAUGUACUUAUAUCAGAGACCAUUUUUACAUAUAUAUUUCCAUGAAUUAAGUUUGUGACACAUGUUUUAGUUAUUAGUUCACAUGAUUCACCUCGAAUCCAACAUAUAGGUCGAGGCGGGUCGUGUCAUUUCUCUCCCAUGUUGAAAACUCUCAAUGCUUCUCUUGCAUUCACCAAUUGAAUGCUCUCAAUUGGAUGCAUAAACGAGGGGGAGAACCCCUCUGUUUAUCUCCCCCUCUAUUUAUAGGCAAAGCUUGCCUAAUUAUGCCCACCCCACCAAUUUUGAUCAAAAUUGGUGGCUUAGCCAUCAAAUUUGAUCAACAAAUUUUGUCAAUAAAUUUGACGCUAAAGCUACCAAAUUUGAAGCCACCUUUUUUAUUAUUAAUCAAUUGUCAACAUCAAUUAGAUUAACAAAUAGAAAUAAAAGCUCAAUUUAGAUCCAUAAUGCCCAAUGCGUCUACCACUUCCUAUAUGAAAAUUUAAUUAGUUAUCAAAUUAAUGUUUCAACUAAUCUAAAGGAGACUUGUUACAAACAAAAAAUAAGACUAAUUCAUUAACGUCAUUUUCUUCCUAAAUUCAACUCUAAUAAAUAGUUAUUCUCAUCGCAUGCUGACAAAUUCAUGCUAGUAAUAAAUUCUAAUAAUGGUGUAACUUUAUUAUAUAAAGUAAUGAGUGUGCAACUAUGUAUGUAGAAAGAAAAUAAUAGCAAUAGGAAAACUGUAGAAAAAUAAUGUGUACUUCAAGGUAGGCUGCAAGUAUCGCUUUCCUUAAGAAGUUAUUUGCUACACUAAUUGAGUGAUGUACAUAAUUUAAACGAAUAUGCCUCCAAGAUACAAUGAUACACUUAUUUGUUUGCUUGCAUUGUGUAUUGACAAAAUGAAACAUAAAUACUCUCGAAUGUGGCAAGCUUGCCAAGAAUCAAUAUAUUGUUUCUUGUAGUAAACGAUAUCUGAAAUAUUUGAUGCAUAAAAAAUAGAUAACAUAUGAAGAAAUUCGUUUCAAGAAAGAAGAUUGAUAAAAGAGUGGUGUAGAAUCAUUAUUUUCAUGUAUAAAUGGCCUCAACAAGCCUUUUAUUUAUAGAUAUAUUUGUGCCCCACUAUUUGAGUUGUCAUCUUUCAUAAUACCCCUUCAUUCAUGACCGUUGGAUUAAGAUUUGAUUUUAGUCAAUGAUCAAUAUUGAAUAUUGCCACAAACACGGCUAAUUUUGUAUAGGCUAAUUUGGCAACUUAUGCAGUAUGAGUGAAUUGAUUAAACAAAAAUAUCAUACACAGCAUCCUUAUAAUUAUUUAUAUUUUUCAAUCAAUUCAUUCAUGUCAUAUAAAUGGUUAACUCAAUUUGUACAACUACUGUGCGGCUAUAUUAUUUUAUUCUUGGCUCUUUAAAGGCUUCUAUUUAGAAGCCUUUUGUAGGCUAAGUGUCAACUGUCAAAGAUCAAAGGAUACUUUCCGGCCUGCUACAUGUGCUUGAGGUGACAAAUGUAGUGUAAGCUGGGCCAUUUUCUGGGCCUAAGCAUUGCUUUUGCUUGCUUCAAUAGCAAUCGAAGGCUUGUGGUGGCCGGGGUGAAAAAUUAUUUAUUUUAAUUAUUAAUUAAAUAUAGAUAAUAAUAAAAUGUAAAUGAAAUUAAAAUAUUAAUUUAAUUUAAAUGUUGAAAUAAAAACAUUAUUUUAUAUAAUCUAUAUACUACGUCAAACAUAGUAUUAUAUUACAACUUAAUAUAAUAUAAUACAAUAUAAUACAAUACAGUGUACCAGAUUAGGGUUGGCAACAAACUCCGAAGCCAGACCGGAUCUACAAAGAUCCAGAUCCGAAAAAUUAUGGAUCCGCAUGUUAAAAAAUACGGAUCUGGAUCUUAAAAGUCAAGAUCCGUGCGAAUCCAGUGCAUCCGAAAAAUCGGAUAUCCAGAUCCGUAUUAUUUUAUAAUUAAAUUAUUUAUUUAAUCAAAUUUCAAUUGAAAAUAUAUAAAUUAAAUUAUUUAUUUAAAUGUUUAAGCAUAAUUAACUCUACAAUCUUCAUUAACUAUGAAAAAUAUGCUAAAAAAAUAAUAAUUAGAGAAUAUUGUAAUAAAUCGGUUUACCUUAGAUUUUUUUUUUUUUAUGUUUGAUUUAUAUUGUGCAAUUAUUGUUUGUGAAUUUAUGGUGUUGUUAUAUGUUAUUUAUGUUGAAUUGAUGUUAAAUUGUUGAGUGUUCAAUUAUAAUUGAAUUUUAUUUAAUAUAAUUAUGUAAAUUAUUAAAUUUACAAUUAUAUUUAAAUUUAUUAUUAUGCGGAUCCGAAUAUCCAGAAUAUUCACCGGCAAUCCAUGUGGAUAUUAAUGGCAUCCGGAUCCGCAUAUUUUUUUUCCGGAUCCGGAUGCCAAAAGUUUAAUCCGGAUCUAGAUCCGGAUACACCUACAUUCGGAUCCAGAUCCAGAUUUUGCCAUCCCUAUACCAGACACGUCCUAAAUUAUUACAUCCGGAUCCGGAUUUGGAUUUUGCCAUCCCUAUACCAGACGCGACCUAAAUGAUUAAUGUAUGUUUCAACUAAUCGAGAAAGAGACUUUCCAAAGGCAAAGAAGAUAACAGCUUGAUUAAUUACUUUAGAAAGAUAAGAUUAAUGAAAACGAUAAGAGACUUUCCAAAGGCAAAAGAAGACAACAGCUUGAUUAAUUACUUCAGAAAGAUAAGAUUAAUGAAAACGAUAAAAGGACAUUAUGCUGACAAGAUAUCAUAAAAGAGAUAUUAAUCUCACAUAGGGAUAGUUUUGUAAAUAUAACAUUGAAACCCGCAUGGACUUAUGGUUGUUUUUGUACUAUCUUGUCUUUUAAUUGGUAAUUUAAGCUCUAACAAAUAAUUAUUAAACUCCUAAUGAAACGAUUUAUGGAUCUUAACUUUUGAGUUCCAACUACUAACUUGAUAUUCAUUUGUGGAUGAGAAUAGAAUAAUAAGUAGCACUACUAGAUGAUUAAUACAAAAUUGCAUGUUUGUUACUUUAUUUUAUGGACAAACAACUGAAUGCUACAUUAAUUGAAAUUCAAUUAUAGGGUUCAUGUAUUGAGAUCCCACUUAUUUUUGGAGUUUGGAGAAUGACUCCCACUCUAAAAUUGGGGAUUAAUUAAUAAUUAGGUAAUUACUAGUUGAAUAGUGGUGAAUUAUGAAACUUUGGUAAUUUUUGUCUUAUUUAAUUCUCCUUUGCUUUAAUUGUUUUCUUAGUUUAAUUAGUAUAAUUUUCUUAAAAACUCAAUUUGCUCAACUAGGUUAGAAUUAAUAUUAAUUUUAGAUUUAAAUUAGACUUUUUAAUUUAUAAUAAUCCCUGUGAGUUCGACCUCGUUACCACUAUUCUAUCUCUAAAUUUGUGCCCUUGCGAGUAAAUUAAAAAUUUUCACAACAAGUUUUUGGUGCCGUUGCCAGGGAUUGUGCCAGAAAGUCAGUUUAAUCUAGUUUGAUUUAACUCUUCCACUAAUUAUAAUUUUGGUUGUCUUUUAUUUUAUUUUAUUUAUUUAUUUAUUAAAAAACACAAAAAAAUAUUUAGUUUUUUUACUUUGAAUUCAUUGUUUGGUUGUUUGAUUUCUUUUAAAUUUUUUUUAUUUUUAUUAUUGUUGUUUUAUUUUUCUUCUUUGUCAAGUUAGUUUAUGAAUGUUUGGGAAUGUGAUUCAACAAAUCAUUUGGUCAAAAAAGAGUUAAAAAUUGAUAGUAGUCGAGAUAGUUCUUCAGAAGUGAUGGAUAACUCAAAUAGACUAUUGCCAAUACUUCCACCAGUGCAAGUAGAGAAAACCCUUAGAGAAUAUUUUUCACCACUUGCAGCCAACCAACCGUUUUGUAUUGUGUUGCCACAAACUACAACAACACACUUUGAACUUAAGCCCUCUGUCAUUCAACUUUUACCAUCUUUCCAUGGGUUAGAGAGAGAGGAUCUAUAUUUGCACAUAAGGAAUUUUUUGACAUAUGCUCUACAUUUCGUUUUCAAAAUUUUAAUGAUGAGUCAAUUAGGCUUCGUAUGUUCCCUUUCUCAUUAAAAGAUAAAGUGAAAGUUUGGUUGAAUUCACUUCCUGCUGGGUCUAUUACUACGUGGGAUGAAUUGAGUAAUAAGUUCCUCACCAAGUUUUUCCCUAUGUCUAAAACAAAUGCUCUUAGGAGAGAGAUAAGUGAUUUUUAUCAAAGAGAGGGUGAGCAAUUUUAUGAGUGUUGAGAAAGAUUCAAUGAUUUACUCCUCAAGUGUCCCCACCAUGGUUUUGAGAAAUUGAGACUUAUACAAUACUUUUAUAAUGGUUUCACUAUGUCAAAUCGUCAUAUGGUAGAGUCUAUGAAUUGUGAAAGAUUUUUGAACUUACAUGAACGGUCUGCAUGGUAUUUCUUUAAUUCACUUUCUGAGAAUUCUCAACAGUGGGAUUUUUCAAAUCAAAGCGAGAAAUUAUCUCAAGUUUCUAGAAAAGGGUCUAUAUGAAGUUAAAGAUGAUUUUGAUAUGAAAGCUACUCUGACUACACUUUCUAGAAAAGUAGAUGCCUUAACUAUGAACCAAUCAAUGAAUUAUCAUCCUAGUGUAGCUAAUGAGGUUUGUGCUCUUUGUUGCAAUUUGUCUCAUACAACACAUAAUUGUCCUUCAUUACCAGCUUAUCAAGAGGCUUAUUCUGAGCAAGUACAUGCCUUACAAUCAUAUGAGAAAUCCUCCAAUAGUCCAUAUUCAUCCACAUAUAAUCCUAAUUGGAGGAAUCGCCCUAAUUGUUCCUGGAAACAAAAUCAACCUUUGUCAAACCAAGGAGGACAACAAUUUAGCAUGCCAAAUCAAUAAUUUGUCCCUCCUAACCAAAUAUAUCCCCCUGCCCAACAAACUAUGUCUCAAUUUGUUGCACCCCAACAAACAAAACCUUCUUUAGAGGAUAAACUUCAAAGUUUCAUUCAAUUAACCCAACAAACCUUUCAAUCAAAUACUCAAGCUAUUCUAAAGCUUGAACAUCAAUUGGGUCAAUUAGCAACUAUUGUGGCUAAGAGAGAAAAAGGAAAAUUUCCAAGUUAACUAGUUCCUAAUCCUAAAGGAGUGCAUGAAGUUAGAUUAAGUUCAAGCCAUCAGCAUGAAGAAACAAAGUCUAUUAUGACCUUGAGAAGAGGAAAAUUAUUUGACAACAAAGUGAAGGUUCGAACAAGAAAGACAUCUGAACCUACUUCUUCAGAUCCAGUUCCAUCACAAGACUCAUCACCUAAUGUUCUAGAAGAAAAUGGCCCACCAACUUAUAUUCCUAAGGCUCCUUUUCCUCAAAGGUUAACAAAGGUAAAGAAAGAAACUUCAAUAGGUGAGAUUAUGGAAAUCUUCAAGCAAGUAAGUAAAAACAUCCAUUUACUCGAUACUAUUAAGCAAGUUCUCUCCGAUGCCAUGUUUUUGAAGGAUUUAUGCACUAAAAAGAGAAAUUUACAUGUCACCAAAAAGACAUUUUUAAUUGAACAAACUAGCAAUUUACUUCAAUAUAAAAUGCCACCAAUAUUUAAGGAUCCAGGUUCCCCUACUAUCUCAUGUGUUAUAGGGAGCCAAUUGUUUGAUAAAGCAUUAUUGGAUUUAGGCGCUAGUGUUAAUCUCUUGCCUUAUUCUGUUUACAUGUAGCUUGGACUAGGUGAAUUAAAGCCAACUUCUAUUAUUUUGCAACUUACUGAUAAGUCAAUGAAAAUACCUCGUGGUAUUAUAGAGGAUGUGUUGAUACAAAUUGACAAAUUUUACUAUCCUCAUGAUUUUAUUGUUAUUGAUACUCAGCAUGUACAGGAACCUAAGAAACACAACCCAGUUAUUCCAGGUCGUCCUUUCUUAGCUACAACUGAUGCUCAUAUUAGUUGCAGGACUGGAAACAUGCAUUUGUCUUUUGGCAACAUGACCAUGGAAUUAAAUAUUUUUAAUGUUCCCAAGCAAGCACAAGACGAUGAUGAAGUCGUUGAAGUAGAUAUGAUAGAAGCAUCAAUUGAUGACUCAUUUAUUUCUAACCACUGUGACAAUCUAUUAACAUCAUGCACAACUGACUCUGAUUUCUCUGUUGAUGUUGAUAGUGGUAUUGAAGAAGUUAAUACUUUACUUGAUUCAACUCUUAUCAAAGAUCUAAUUAAGUGGAAAGAAAAGAUUGAGCCACUUCCUCCUGAAGAGAAAAUUGAACCAUUCAAGUUGGAGCUACUUUCUAAAGAAGUGCAAUAUAGGUCACAUUCUGAAAUGAAAACGGUGGUAAGAUCUAAAGUGCUUAAAUUAUUAGAUUUUUAUAUUACUUCAGAUAACUCUCAGGUAAGCUUGGAACAGAAGAGAUCAAAGUAGUGCGAUAUUGAGGAGUUUCAUUACCAUCAUCCUUUUAUCGAUAAAAUGCUUCAGUGCUUAGUGAAUUAUGUUUUUUGGUAUUUUUUGUAUAAUUAAUUUGAUUAAUUAGUUAGUUUAGUAUGAUUUUAUUUAUUUUACUUUUUUUAUUAUUUAUAUUUCUUCUAACGUUUUCUUUUUAGUUGUCAUUUUCUUUUAAGUUUCCCUAGCCCAUUCAGGUGAUCUCUCUCCAACUUUUUCUUUUAUUAUAUAUGUUUUUAUUUAUUUUGUUCUCAUCUUUUUGCAUGCAUAUCUUUUGUUUGUGAAACAUUGAGGACAAUGUUCCGAAUAAGUUUGGGGGUGGGAAUAGUGUGUGCUUUGUUUGUUAUUAAAAAAACCCAAACAAAAUUAAAAAAAAUUCAAAAAUUCAAAAAAAACUUGUGUUUUUUUUUUGUUUGUUUUUAUGUGAAAAGCCAAUGAUAAGGACUUGAUUGACAAUGAAUAUGGUUCUUAGAAAGGGUUGAAUAUUGUCUUAGUUUAUACUUGGUUCUUGUGGUUGUUCCUCUUGAUUGAGAUUCUUUAAUUAUGAGCACUAAUAUCAAUUCUUUCAUAAUUUUGACUUAAAAUUUGAGAUUGACGCAGCCUGAGUUGAGAAUUUUAUAUAGAGUAAAUGACUGUUUGUCUUGAUUCUUAUCUCCACAGUACAAAAUAGUAUAUACAGCGCCAAAGUUAGAAAUAGCUACCUAUAACCCUUAACAGUGAAGCUAUCCUUGAGUAAUUUGGGCCUAUGUAUCACCAAUAUGUAGUGGAUAAUCUACCAUGAGAAGAAGACUAUCUUAAGAGGUAGAGUGAAAGCUCAUGAAUAUGGUAAAAAAAAAAAAAGAAAAAAAUGAAAAAAUGAAAAAAAAAUCAAGUGCAUGUGCUGAAAUGAAAAAAUAAAAAGAGAAUGCACAUAAAAGCCUGUGAAAAUAAAAAUUUGGAAAUCAAGAUGAUAAGAUUAGUUUGACCUACUCUUUUCUUUGUUCGAGGCGAAAGCUUUGAUAUUAAAAUUUUUGGGAAUGAAUUUGAUUGAAUUGAUUCACACAUACACUACAAGAAUCAAAAGAGAGAUGUGAUUGACUAUUGGAUUAAAGUUAAAACUUUUCUAAUAUUUAAAAUUUUCUUUGAGCUAUAUAAUUUGUGCAAUCUUUGAGGCUAUUUUCAUGUUUUAUUUAAAGUUUUUUGUCCUUUUGAUUUGAUUUGAUUUUAUUUUUUUUAAUAUGAUGUUUGUGGGUAUCAUCACUUAAGCCCUCACGAGGCUAUAACCCGUCCACUAGGGAUGUAAAGGCUUGUUGAAUAUGCUAAAUGCAAUUGCGAUUACCUGCAAAAGUGCUGUAGUUAGGAUUUACUUUUUGUUUCAUUGUUUUUUAGUUUUACUUUUGCUCGAGGACUAGCAAAAUCUAAGUUUGAAGGUAUUUGAUGAGCAUAAUUUAUAUAUAUAUUUUACCCUUUAUUGUAUAUUUGCUAGUUAUUUUUAUUUCUUAUUUUUAAUUAAUUGAAUUGUUUUAUUGAAUAGGGAAUUAAUUUGAGAUUAUGAACAAAAAGUGCAUAAAAGAUCCAUAAGAAGAAAGAAUUGAAGAAUUAAAGAUUAUGUUCCAAAGCUUCCGCAUGAGCUUAAGAUAAUUAAAGAAAGAUUUUAUUUAGCAAUUUGGAAUGCAUGUACUGGGCAUUAAAAGAAAGAAAUCAUUAAUUGGCCUUGUUCUUUGGAAGUCAAAUGUGUGGCUAGCUUUCCAAGUUUAAUAAGGAAAUAAUAUACAAACUACAAAGGAUUUGGCGUGUGAGAGCAAAAAAAAUAAAAGGCCAAAGCCUUUGGGCUUUAGAAUUGAAAAGGUAGGGCCCAUUUUGAAGACUAUAUAAGAAAGCUUUUGGCUUUUGGCUUUUGGCUUUUGGACGAAAGAGGGGAGGGAGCCACCAGAGAAAGAAAAUAAGUAGACGCGAUUCGGGAGAGAUAGGAGCGGCAGCAGGUGUUCAAUUUUCAUGGGUGGUUUUAUUUUAUUUGUUGCUCCCAAUUUAAGUAUGUCUAGUUAAUUUUCUUAUACUGAGGUUAAGGCUGAAACCCUAUUCAAUGAAAUAAUUAUCUUUUGGUUUAAUUAAUUCCCUACAUGCGUGUUUUAAUGUUUAUGGUUCUUGUUUCACAUGAUUAGUUGGAUGUUAUUAAAUCUUUUUAUCAAUUCUGUCAUGCAUUAUUGAUUGUUAUAUUAAUAUUUGACUAAAUCUAUGCUUGAGUUUAUGAAGUCUAUACAUGAUCAUCUUUGAUUUCGUGUCUUUCAUUAAACUAUUUACACAAAGUACUUAAGAAAAUUUUGACUCUCUGUUAUUCAAUAUGUUUACAUAUGAUUCUUAUAUAUCAUACUAUUAAGCAGAAAAAGAACCCACACAAGAUUAAUUUUAAUUGGGCUUAAUUGUUAUAUUUAUGAGAUGACAUAGAUUGAUUUCGAGUUGUCACUCUAAAAUUGGGGAUUAAUUAAUAAUUAGGUAAUUACUAGUUGAAUAGUGGUGGAUUAUGAAAACUUGGUAAUUUUUGUCUUAUUGAAUUCUCCUUUACGUUAAUUGUUUUCUUAAUUUAAUUAGUUUAAUUUUCUUAAAAACUUAAUUUUCUCAACUAGGUUAGAAUUAAUAUUAAUUUUAAAUUUAAAUUAGACUUUUCAAUUUAUAACAAUCCCUGUGGGUUCAACCUCGUUACCACUAUUCUAUCUCUAGAUUUGUGCGCUUGCGAGUAAAUGAAAAAAUUUCACAACAGACAGGCAUUUUUAUGACCACUUGAAGAUUUUCCUUACUAAGAAUCACAUGGCAGAAGAUCUUCAAAAAUUCAGUAGAGCUCAUAUCAAGAGAAUAUCUUAUUAAUGACUUGCUAUGUGCAUGCAUGUGCGUGACAAGUAAAUGGAGGAUUGAAAGAAAAUUUUCAAAUUGAAAAAGAUAAAACAAAAGGGAGGAGAAAACAGUAUAAAAAAAAAAUUGUGUCGCCUUCAAUUGAAUUGCUUAAUCAAGAGAAUCUUAUCAUAUUUCUGUUCAAUUACUCGGUAGUGUCCUGUUUGUAGAGGUGUGUGGUAGUCAUUAAAUUAACUUGUAGGAUCAAAUUGAGCAUCAUAUUAUCAUAUACAGAAACCAAGCAGAGAAUAGCGAUUUUAGAAGUAUGAGUUCGAUUGAAGUUGAGGACGCAAAUGAGUUAUUUCAAGCUCAAGCUCAUCUGUAUAAGCACGUAUUGAGCUACAUGAGUUCAAUAUUUCUCAAAUGUGCAGUUGAGCUUGGCAUUCCUGACAUAAUCCACAAGCGCGGACGACCCGUCACUCUCCCUGAGUUAGUUUCAGCACUUGAGUUUCAGCCUAACAAAAGAAAUUGUUUGAGGCGGAUUAUGCGGCUCUUAGAUCACUCAGGCUUCUUUUCCACAACAAAAGUGCAUAACUCCCGAGAAGAAGAAAACGAAGCAUAUGCUCUAACAUCUGCUUCUAAGCUGCUGCUUAAAGAUAAGCCCUACUGCUUGUCACCUUUUGUUUUAUUAGUGACUGAUGCCGCUUUUAUAACUCCAGGCCAUUAUUUGAGUAGAUGGCUUAGAGGAAAUGAGCUUCCUGAUCCAUUUGUAACUGGUCAUGGAAUUAAUAUAUGGGGUUAUGCAGAACAAAACCAUGAAUUUAACAACCUUUUCAAUCAAGGACUUGCCAGUGAUUCUCAAAUGGCAAAAUUGAUUAUUAAAGACUGUAAGCACAUUUUUGAUGGGUUGAGUUCAUUGGUUGAAGUAGGAGGCGGUACAGGAUCAUUUGCCAGGAUCAUAUCCGAGGCGUUCCCAAGCAUAAAAUGCUCGGUACUUGAACUCCCACACGUUAUUGCCGACUUGCCAGAGACUGACAACUUGAAAUUCAUAGCAGGAGAUAUGAAUCAGUCUAUCCCUUCUGCGGAUGCCUUUCUCUUCAAGGUACAUAAUAAGCUUCAACAUCAAUUGCCGGCUAGUUUAUACUUUUUAGCUCUAUAUUUAAACAGAACAUAUAUAAUUUUACUUUUAAGUAUCCGCAUAAUAUGAUAACUGAUCUGGUGGGACAUCGUCGCUCACCUAGCCCACAUGGCCACCUCUACACAGUGAGAACUGGACACGUAGGGCUGUCCCCAGAUCAAAACCCUAUAAAACAUAUAAUAUAUGCUCCAGUCUUCUAAUAUAUAUAUUCUGAAAUUAUGUGUGGUUUGGCAGUUGAUUUUUCAUGAUUAUGAUGAUGAGGUUUGCUUGAAGUUACUGAAGAACUGCAGAGAAGCUGUGGCUAGCAGUGAUGGGAGAGAAAAGGUAAUAAUCGUAGAUAUCGUAGUCAAUGAAAAGAAAGAUAAACCUGAAAUUACUGAAGCAAAGCUCUUGUACGACGCGUUAAUGAUGACUUGUGUUCCGGGUAUAGAGAGAAGUGAGAAAGAAUGGGAAAGGCUAUUCUUCGAUGCUGGUUUCACUAGCUACAAAAUAACGCCUUUACUUGGUUUGAGGUCCUUUAUUGAAGUGUAUCUAUAGAAAGAUAAUAAUCCACAUUUGUGUGAUAAUGUGAUUGGGAGCUUUAUAUUAUAUAUUAAUCGUAGUAUUCCUUUGGACUUUGUUGUUCUUUCUCUGAUAGGAGUAUUAGCUGCUCAGCUGCUUGCAGCCUUUCAGCCUUUGUGUAUUUUCCCUUUACUAAUUAGAAAAUCAGAAUGCUCUCAUGUUUUGUGUUCUCAAAUAUCAAAAUUAUUACUUCAGGGAACAGGCUAAAGUUCUCCGUUUACUGUGUUACUGUAUGAAUGGCUGCAUCGAUGAUAUAUCGGACUUCAAAUUUGACUCUACGCAUCUAGUACAUUCCAAUCCCCAUCUUAAAUAUUGUUUUGCCUUUAAGAGCUUCAGCUUUCACAUCUUAAUCACUACAGUUUUCAUAAUAUUUAAAUUAAAAAAAAUUCUGUGGUUGGGAUGAGUUCAUAUGCGGAAGUUUUGAUGUCAUCAAUGGAAAUCAGUGAUAGAUAUUAUAUAUUAACUGCUAAGGAAGCUCACUGAGCUUGUUGCCAAGUCAGCAGCUCGCAACCUAAUCAGCAAUUCAGACAGCAAUGCUUACUACAAUUAGUUAUUAUGCUGAAGUAGCUUGCUUAGUCAGCAAGUUAGUUACACACUAUGUUAUUCACAAAUCUGAGAUUUUAGAAAUAUAUAUCACCACAACAGAAAUGGCUUUUUGCAACAAAAAGAUUUUGUUGCCUAAAGUGCUAAUUUUGUUGCCAUAGGUUAUUGCUACAAAAACAAGCUUGUCGGCCCGGUCGUCGGCCUAGCACUGUCGCCCUCUAUGUUUAACAACAUAUCAAAACAUUUCUCGCCUCAAACUUCCUUUCGCAACAAAACAGAUUCGUUGUGAAGGAGUCUUCAACUUGUUUAGAGAAUAAUUUGGCAACAAACAUUUUUGUUGCUCUAAACAGUUUUACACAACAAAAUAAUUUUGUUUCUAUAUAGUUAUUUACUACAAAACUAAUUUGUUGCUAAGAAAUAAAGUACAUUUUAUAAAAAAAACGUGUACCAACAAAGGUGUUUGUUAGCUAAGAUCAUUUUAGGCAACAAAACUACUUUGUUUCUUUAUGUUGAAAAUUUUACAAAUUUGCAAUAAAUAUUUAAAUAUUUUUAGAAACAAAUCAAUUUUGUCAUUCAAAAAUACUACAAUUUUUUUUAAUAAUAUCAUGGUAUAAAAGGAAGCAAACCAAGUUCGUUGGGAAAGAUACCAAUUUUUCCCCUACCAUGACAAUAAUAAACUAGAAAUAUAUGUUGAGAAAUCUAACAAAAAAAUCAUUAAUGUCAUUGAACUAAUUUAAAAGUUAAAGGCCCAUUCAGUAUCCAAGCUAUAUAUAUAUAUAUACAAAACUGACUUUAAGAAUCACAUAUGAUAGUCAAAUACAAAAGUGGAUUGUCAUCUAUCCCAAAAAUGUAAUGAGCAAAAAUUAUAAACGAUCUCUAAUUACAACUACUCCAAACUCCAAAUACUUAAAGAUAUGACAUGCACCAGCAGUAACCAAAAAGAUCAAGUGAUGACCAAUUCAAAAUACUAACAAGUUCAAGAUACUCUAAGGACAUCAUUGAAAUGAGUAAUCAUUGAGUAGCUGAAUCUGUAAAGCGAAAAGCGGAUCCUUGAGAAGAAAAAAAUUGCUGCAUCAUACCCUCAAAUUGGGACAAUCUGGACUCCAAUUGAUCAAUAGUCUUCUUUUGUUCUUGAAGCUCAACAUCUUGUGAAUCCAAUCUACUUUGUUGUGAAGAUAUAAUACCAUGCAAUCUGUCAGCCUCAGAAGUAUCAACACCAUGGUUUGAAGUUGGGCGUGGUCCGUUGCCAAGUCCUCGAAAAUAGCCUGAUUUCUUUCCAAGUACUUCAAUGCAUAUUUCCCUUUGAGUUAGUGGUUUUGCCUUGAGGAUCUAUUUGUUGCUGUUGUUGAAUCUCUACCAUUUGGUCCUAUACAUAAAGCUUUGUUAGUAAAUGAAGGAAGAAAAAAAAGAAUUUUAUUAAUUAAAUAGUUGAAAUUUAAUCCAUUGGUCAUGGAAUUAAUUUGUAUUAAGGCAUAAAUUGAAAAAAAAAAAAAAAACUUGCUGUUAUACUUAUAAAUCUAAUUAUUUGAUAUUUCAAAUAAUAAAGUUAAUUAGAGCAUGAAAGAAAAAUUAAGAAAAAAAAACUCAAUGAGUAAACUUUCAUCAACAGUAUGUAGGUGAUAAGAAAUAAUAAAAUUAAAAAUUUUGUUUCCAACAAAGCAUCUUACAUGGUUUAAGUGUGCCACCUCAUUCACCCAACCUUUUGUCUUGCUGAAAUGAGUGACGNNNNNNNNNNNNNNNNNNNNNNNNNNNNNNNNNNNNNNNNNNNNNNNNNNNNNNNNNNNNNNNNNNNNNNNNNNNNNNNNNNNNNNNNNNNNNNNNNNNNNNNNNNNNNNNNNNNNNNNNNNNNNNNNNNNNNNNNNNNNNNNNNNNNNNNNNNNNNNNNNNNNNNNNNNNNNNNNNNNNNNNNNNNNNNNNNNNNNNNNNNNNNNNNNNNNNNNNNNNNNNNNNNNNNNNNNNNNNNNNNNNNNNNNNNNNNNNNNNNNNNNNNNNNNNNNNNNNNNNNNNNNNNNNNNNNNNNNNNNNNNNNNNNNNNNNNNNNNNNNNNNNNNNNNNNNNNNNNNNNNNNNNNNNNNNNNNNNNNNNNNNNNNNNNNNNNNNNNNNNNNNNNNNNNNNNNNNNNNNNNNNNNNNNNNNNNNNNNNNNNNNNNNNNNNNNNNNNNNNNNNNNNNNNNNNNNNNNNNNNNNNNNNNNNNNNNNNNNNNNNNNNNNNNNNNNNNNNNNNNNNNNNNNNNUCUUGAAGCUCAACAUCUUGUGAAUCCAAUCUACUUUGUUGUGAAGAUAUAAUACCAUGCAAUCUGUCAGCCUCAGAAGUAUCAACACCAUGGUUUGAAGUUGGGCGUGGUCCGUUGCCAAGUCCUCGAAAAUAGCCUGAUUUCUUUCCAAGUACUUCAAUGCAUAUUUCCCUUUGAGUUAGUGGUUUUGCUUCUUUAGGAUCGGUUUGUUGUUGUUGUUAUAUCUCUACCAUUUGGUCCUAUACAUAAAGCUUUGUUAGUAAAUGAAGGAAGAAAAAAAAGAAUUUUAUUAAUUAAAUAGUUGAAAUUUAAUCCAUUGGUCAUGGAAUUAAGUUGUAUUAAGGCAUAAAUUAAAAAAAUAAAAGAAACUUGUUAUAAAUUGGAGCAUGAAAGAAAAAUUAAGAAAAAAAAACUCAAUGAGUAAACUUUCAUCAACAGUAUGUAGGUGAUAAGAAAUAAUAAAAUUAAAAAUUUUGUUUCCAACAAAGCAUCUUACAUGGUUUAAGUGUGCCACCUCAUUCACCCAACCUUUUGUCUUGCUGAAAUGAUUGACGCGAAAUAAUUCUAUUUCACCAUCAACCAUGUCAUCCUCAAGAUAAUUAACAAAAGGUCUUGAUCCCCCACAAUGGACAUAUGGGAGCUUAGCACGAUUAGCUUUGUUUUUGGUAGAUUGAGUCUACAUUAAAAAAAUAUAACAGUGGAAAAUAAGAUACAUAUACAAGCAUAUUGACAACUAGUUGGACAAUUUAAAGUUCAUAAUAUGAAUAUCAUUGGACCUGGAAACUUGCGGAAUUGUAAAUGUUAUGACAAAGCCAAGCCCAAUCAUCUGGACAUAUGCCUGGAUAUGAAUGCUUAAGUGCCUCUUCAAAGGAUGGAUAAUCCAAGUAAUGAUCAUACAUCCAAUGUCUCAUAUCAUGAUAUCUCCCACCCAUAAUGUUAUUCACACAUCGACGAACAUGUGGUACGUUCAAAUCAAUCUCAAACUUUGACUGAAUUUAGGAAAAAAAAGAUAUCUCAGUUUAUAAUUAAAAAAAAUGACAGAUGAAGAAUAUUAAUAAUCAUAAGUACUUACUAAUAGUCGAUCAAACAAAACCUACCAAUUAAACUCUUUAAAUACCAAAUUCUAGAGUUGUAACAACACCUUGCACAAACUCUUGGCUGGGCAUAACAGGCUGAGAUUGGGGAAUUGUAGAUGCGACAACAAUUUCUGCUCUUACACGUUUGGUAACUCUAUGUCCAGGACCCAUCUAGUAAUUAUUAAAAAUAUACAUUAGAGUUUAUUAAUGAUCAACAUAAAAAUAAAUCAAGAUAACUAUAAUUUUGUCAAAGAAAUUAUAACAUGAAAGAUCCUAUUACUGGGCAUAGAUCCUACAUUCAUUUGACUAUUGUCCACAAACUCAGGUUCUUCACCAUGAAAAACCCAUGAAAAAUCCAUUAACUUUAAUUUAACAAAUUAAAAAUUGAAACAAAGACCCACUUAAUAAAUAAUUAAAGCAAAACCCACUAAACAAAAUCAAACUCAACAGGCCAAUAUAUAAAAUAAAACUAAAUUUACUUGAAGAAAUUGUUGUCUUGAGUGGUGCCUUCCAAGUACAACUCUUCAAUGGCUUAAAGCUUGGGCAGAGAGAAUGACUCCAUGGCAGGGCAAAAGAAACAAGCGAAUAGUAAAGUGGAAAUAUUCUAGAAGCAAUAUUUUAAUUAAGAAAAAAUUGGAGACGGAAACUUUACUUCGGUUAGCACGCGGUUUAUUAAAUAAAGGGCGCGGAAAUAAAAAAUUAAAAAGCCUCCCACAAAGUCAUGUUUGCUUUUAUAUUAUCUUUAUAUUUUCAUUUAUUAAUUUAAUAUUUUUGUUAACCUUUGCGCAACAAAAUUAAUCUCGUUGCAAAAAACUCUGAGAGCACAAAACAAAUUUUCUCGCUAAUCACAACUUUUUGCAAUAUUUCAUUUGUUGCAACUGAUUCAAGUGUUUGUUGUGGAAAAACUUGAGCAACGAAACAUAUUUUGCCUUCAUUAAGCUUGUUAGGCAACAAGAACACUUUUGUCGCCAAACAUAGCGUAGGGCAAGAAAAUAUUUUGUUGCCACAUAUUCUAAUUUUCUUGCCUAUUCCACAUCAUUAAGAAGAACAAAAUCUGUUUAGCUAUAGCGAUAAAGACUAAUUUUUGUUGCAAGAUAUGAAUUUUAGCAAUAAAGUAAGUUUUGUUGCAAUAGAAUUUGUAGCCAAUACUCUAUUUUCUUGUGGUGUAUAUCACUUGCUGUUCCGAAGCAAUAAUUUUGAAAUCAAAGUAUUGCUCGGCUUCGUAAAUCCAUCCAAUCGGGUCGUCACCACUAAACUUGAAAAUAAAAUUAAAAAUGAAAUUAUGAAAAUUUUCAAUUGAGCUAUUCCUUUUAGUGUAUAACGCUAAAGAUAAUUAGGAGAUUCGCUUGGAUUAAUUUAGCUCUACAAUGCCUAGUGUUUCUAGCUAGUCUACCACUUGCUGUCUGAAAAUGUAAUUAAAUAGUUGUUGAGCACAUGCAUGCAUAUGGCAAGCAAAUGCAUAUGGAUAGCAUACAACUUUUGACUUUAGUACUAAAAUGAGCACCGAACCUAAUAAUUUUGAAAAAUUCAAAAGAGUUGUUGAAAGGUGGCCGAGACGUUUUCUAUGAAAAUGAAUGCAUGCACGGUAAGCUUUCGACUAUAAAUAGAAAAGCAAUUUUCAUUUGAAAGCAUCCUAUUUUCUUUGAUUCAUUUUCUCUUCUUUCGUAGAGAAGUCGAGAGUUGAGUGAGAGAAUUAAGAGCUUUAAUAAACUCUUGAGUGAUUAGUGAGUAAAAGAUUGGGUGUAUUAGGGUUUUCGGUAGUGAGAUAAAUAUUUCAAUAUGUGUAAUCUCCAUUUCACUAGUAAGAUUUUAACCUUCUGUCUUUGCUCGUGCACGUAAACUAAAAGUUGAACUAUGUAAAUUCUAGUAUUCCUGUGUGAUCAUUAUUUUUCAAUUUCACUUUAAUUAUGUGUCUACUACACCCAUCAACUUUCUUUCGUCCAUUAAUUUUUUAAUAGUGGUAUCUGAAACAUUAGUUGUAGUUUUUGGACUCUAGUUACUAUUCACAAGACGGUAUUGUUAAUUUACACAGAAGUAUUCAUUUAUAUGGUACUAUUCACAUGAAACAGUGGAAGCAAUCUAAGAAUUUUGAAUGGGAAACACUACAAGAAGCUGAUGCGUUUGUCACAUUGAGUCAAGAAGGGUCAUAAUAAUAUGGCAUCUCAAACUUAACCACAUGUCUGAACAUGGUUUGAAGAUUCUCUCUAAGCGAAAGCUACUUCUGUUGCUCAAAUCAGUGAACUUAUCUUUUUAUGAGCAUUAUGUUACAAGUAAGCAACAUGGAAUGAAGUCCAGCAGAUCUAAUGCCAAAUUUGACUUAGUCCCUUCUGAUAUUUGGGAAUAGCCAGAUAUAUCUUUAGGAGGUGCAAAGUACUUGGUGGCUUUCAUUGAUGAUUAUUUUAAGAGACAUUGGGUUUACUGAAUUAAAAAAAAGUCAGAUGUAAUUCUAACGCUUUAGGAAUAGAAAGCGUAGGUAGAACUUGAAUCUAAAAAAUGAUCAAAUGUUUGAAGGUAGAUAGUGGUACAGAGUAUACUGACAUCGAGUUUAUUGUAUUUUGUAAGCAAGUAACUAUUCAAAGCUAGUUCAUGUUUGCAUAUAUCCAUCAAUAAAAUGGAGUGAUGGAGUGGAUGAAUAGAACUCUUAUAGAAAAGAUAAGAGCCAUUUUGAGGACUGCUAGUCUACCAAACUUAUUUUAGGCAGAAGCUGCUAAAAUUGGACUGAGAAGCUAAAUAAUUACUUUUAUUUGCAUGCAUUUGGAUGUUAUGUGUAUGUAAUGUACAAUGCCUAAGAAAGAACAAAGCUAGAUCCAAAAUCUAGGGGAUGUAUCUUCUUAAGGUACAUUGAUAACGUGAAGGAGUAUUGUCUGUGAGAUCCCACUGCCCAUAAGAUUGUCAAUAGCGGAGAUAUUAUCUUUAUAAAAGAUCAACUACAAAAGAAAAAUGUGGAUGAUAGCACUGUAAAAAAAGGUAAGAGACUAUACUUAUAAUAUGGAAAAUAAUAUGAAAAAAUAAGAUAGAAAUUCUUUUAAAACAGUACCAGAGUACAAGAAAUAAGAACCAGUGAAGUUCGAGACUCUAAAAGUUCAUCGGUUAACUCAUGAGAUAUGAUUACUAGUAUGACACUCGGAGUACGUUAAAGAGAUCAAUGUGGCAUAUUAUCUUCUGACAGAGGAUGUAGAGCCAUCAACUUUACAUGAAGCUUUAAACAGCUCUGAUGUUUCUUUGUGGAUGAUAACAAUACAAGAAAAAAUUGAAGCUUUACAUAAUAAUAAGACAUGGGAACUUGAACCACUACCAUUGGUAACAAAUAGAUUUACAAGUGAUGUAAAUUAAAAAUUCUCAUCAUACUUGGAUUAGUUUUUCUUAUUGCCUAAAGUUUAUUAUUCUUUUCUUAAUAGUUAAAAAACUUGUUUACUUUUUUCUUCAUGGUUGAGGAUAUUUAUGUUGUGUUUACUUGCUCGAGUGGAAGCGAAAGUGGGGAGUGUGGAUUUCUCCUAUUUUACUGUUUACUUGUUCAUUUAGGGAGAGGAGUGGGAGUCCACUCCUUGGGUCCCACUUAUUUUUGGAGUAUGGAGAAUGACUCCCACUCCCAUGGGGGGAGGUUGGAGUGGUAAUCCACUCCCACCUCUUCCUCUUUUACCCUUCCUUUCUUAAAUAUAAUAUAAUUACAUUAUAUUUAUUUGAAUAAUAUUAUUGUAAUAUUAUUUGCUAAUACUAUAUUUAUUAAAAAUAAAAGUAUUAAACUUAUCUAGAUAUAAUAUUAUUAAUUUAGUUAAAAAUAAUAAUUUGUUUGAUCUACGUUAAAAUUAUUUAAAAAUAAUAUUAUUGUGUCCAUAGAGAAUUAAUAAUAUUACUAUUUAUAUAAUGUUAAUAUAAUAUUAAAUAGUUUAUUUUAAGAAAAUAUUAAUUUUGUACUAUAUUAAUAAUAAUAAUGCAUUAUGCUCAUAUUCGCACCACAUAUAUUUUAAUGUCAAACAUCUUAUUCCUGUCUGAGGUGAUCAUGAUAAAGAUGCUAUUAAUGACAUCUAAAUUCGAGGACAAAUUCUCUCCAUCCUAGAGGGAGUGAUGUAGAUUAGAAAUCCUCAUUAUACUUGGAUUAGUUUUUCUUAUUGUCUAAAGUUUGUUAUUAUUAUUUUUAUUAGUUUAGGAAUUUGGUUUCCUUUUUCAUCAUGGUUUAGGAUAUUUACUACUUAUAUAAAUAACCCUCUCUUAUAGUCUUUAAAGGCAUAUUAGAUUUCAAUAAUAUUUCAGCAUUGAAAGUUUGGAGUGAGUUUUUCAAUUUAGUUAAUUCUCGGCAUUCUGUGGAAUCAACGAGUCUUAACCCCUGGGUUCACGGUAUUCUCUCGGAUCAAUGUGAAUUUAAAUAGUUUCUUCAUUCAAAUAUCCUCAAGGAUCGACGAGAUAUUAGUACUUUAAACUUCCACUGCAUCAAUAAGAUCAAACGUGAUGCCAAUCAAGUGGAAUGGUAUCGUACAAGAUUGCAGGCGAAAGAAUAUGCUCAAAAGCAAAGUAUUGACUUUAAAGAGAUAUUUUCUUUAGUGGUUCAACUCACGCUAGUCAGAGUAGUCUUGGCUAUGUGCAACAUCUGACUUAAAUCUAUAGUGAUUAGAUGUGAAAACUGUAUUUCCUCAUAGAGGUGGAAAAAAGAUCUAUAUACUCCAACUAGAAGGUUUUGCUGAAAUAGGCAAAGGGAACUUGGUUUGAAAGUUGAACAAAAUUCUAUACAGACACUAACAGGCACCAAGAUGUUGAUAUAUGAGAUUUAAUUUAAUUAUAAUGAGCCUUGGAUACAAAAAACAUAGUUAAGACCAUAGUGCAUACUACAAUAUAUUUAAGGAUAAUGAUUUUAUCAUUUUACUGCUGUAUAUAGAUGAAAUAUUGGCAGUAGACACCAACAAAAAUAGAGUCCAAGACUUAAAGGCAUGGUUGUCUAGGGAAUUUGAAAUAAAGACUUAGUACCAGUAAACAAGAUUCUAGAGAUGCAAAUUCAUCGAGAUGGAAAUAACGGGAUGAUUUGGCUCUCUCAAAUAAAUUACUUGAAGAAAAUCAUGCAGUACUUCAACAUGCAAGGUUGUAGGCCAGUUUCUACUCUUCUUCUUAUUAAUUACAAGUUAUCCUCAAUUAUAUAUCCUAGCAAUGAAGUAGACAACAAUUGGUAGUUCGGUUCUCCCUAUGGUAUGUACUAGACCAGAUAUUGCACAAGCAAUGGGAGCAGUUAGUAGAUAUAUGGCGAAACCUAGUAGAGAGCAUUGGAAAACUGUGAAGAGGAUUCUAAGAUACGUCAAAGGAACCUCAGAUGUUGUAUUAUGUUCUACAAUAUCAGAAUUUAUUGUCAGCGGCAGCGUGGACUGUGAGGUACAAUUUCUUGCUUGAAUAUAAUAUAAUUAAUUUUGAGCUAACAAGCCCCUUAAGGAUUAAAAUAAUCUAAUAAUAGUAAUAGUAAUAAUAAAUAUAAUAAUUACAAUAAUAAUAACAAAAGAUCACAUAUUGAAUUAAAAAGUAAUGAUGACAUAAGCAAUGACAUAAGUGAUGAUGUAAUAAGAGAUGCUUGUAGAGAUAGGAAUUCUAGAAUUUACUAAGAUAUUUAUGGAGGGAUAACCUCAACCAUUAAUCAUGAUUUAUGGUGGCAAAAUCCUAGUCAUCCUUUAGUUUUAGGAAAUCCUAUAAAUACCACCUAGCCCUUUCAUUUUUGAAGUAACCUAAAAAUUCAAUAACCUUUUAUUCUAAGUCAUAACAUCAAGUGUAGAGAAAUCCUCAAGUUAGAAAGGUCGAGAGAGUCAAGGAUAAGAAGUAAGUAACACUUCAACUACAAUGUAAGGAUAAAAUUUUUAACUUCAGCUUUAACUAAUCCAUUAUCUUGUCAUGACUACUAUAAUGUGAUUGGUUAUAAUCUAAAUUUUUACAUGGACAAUUAUGCCGCCUAUAUUAUAGCAUGUUCUUAUCUUUAUAUAGUCAGUUAUGCAUAUUAUGAUAUUUUCUUAUUUACUCCUUGUAUGGUUGGUUAUGCCGCCUAUUCUGUGAUACUUUUAUUUAAUUAUGCUAUAUUCGGCUAUGCCGCCUAUAUUAUAAUCCCAUUUUGUUUAAGCUCUAUAUGGACGACACUACCGCUUGUAUUAAAGAUUGUUGUCCUUAAAUAACAUUGAAUAUUGAUUUUGUUAUACCUCUAGGAAUUUCAGAUGUUAUGAUAUAAGUUGCAUUGAACGUAUGCAUUUCAUGGAUUACUUUACAAAGAGACAUUUUAGAAAAUGAAUUUAUGAAAAAUGGGUUAUUGUACUACAAAGUGGUAAAGUUCCCUAAGAGAGCAUGACCUCCAAGCUUAGUAAAAGGUAAUCUUUUGGGGACGGCGAUACGUAACGCCCAAAAGAUCAAAUAAAUUAGGCCUAAGAGCAUGUUGUUUUAAAGAAUAAAAGUGACUAGCCUUAUAGUGCAAUAUACCUAAGGUCCCAGUAAAGUUGGUUUUUUUUUAAGUUUCUUUGAAAAAAACUUAAUAUGGUCAUCUAUAUGCAUAAUAAUUUGUACAUGCAGCAAAGUAUUAACUUACUAGGCAUUAGCUAAUAAAGUCCUUACAUUAUAGGUAAUGAUGAGUAGGGCAAGUUGAUGCCAAGUCCCAACCGAGGCGAAGUGCAUAUAGGCAUAACAAACCUUAGGUUUUAUGAUGGGCUUGGCUUUGUUAUCAUAAAAAAUAAAUAUCUUAACUUUAUGUAAUAAUAAAAUUUUUGAGAUAUAUACUAAAGAAUCUAUGCAUGUCUCUUACAUUUUGUAAAAAGGUUUUGCUUAUUAUAUAAUUUUUUUUUAGAAUUUGUAUUUAUAUUAAAAAGUAACUAGGACCUUAAAUUUGUUUAAAAUAAAUUAUUUUUUUAAAAGUGGAGUGUUACAAAUUGGUAUCAUAGCCCAAAGUUUAAAGCGAUUUUGUAGACCGUCCAUAUGCACAAGUCAAGGGGAAGGACAAGGCUUAGCCUUUUAGUAAAAGCUCAUUGAGAUGUCAAGCCCUAAGGGUAACAUUAGCAGAAUGAUAGCGGAACUAUACAUACAUGAGCAAAAUUAACGAUCUUAUUAAAGUGUAUAGACGAUAAUCUAACCAUGGUGUCACUCGUGGCAAAUCCGAUUAGAAACAAUGUCCCCAGAAGACAGCUGAGCUGAAGAGAACAUCAUGGAUCGAUGCUAAAUGAUAGUUAAACAUGAAUUGCAGUUCUGAUGUUUUCCCCCCUCUAAUUUUUUCGACAUAAAAGUAAAAGGAAAUGAUUAGGAAUAUUAAAUUAAAGUCCGCUUUUACAGUUACUGUUGAAAACUAGGAGGGACUAAACCGAAUAAAACUAAAAUUAUUUGGGCAGUUAUAGAAUUUAUUAAACUUGAAGAACUUUAUUAAUAUUUCACAAGAGACACUACACACCUCACCGUUCUCACUUGUUGUUUCUCUCUCAUUCUUCACAUUACACUUUAUACCUACAUAAAAUAGCCUAGGGCUACCUAUAGUAACCUAGAAGUAAUACAAACCACACAAGUAUUAAAUUACAAAAAUAUGAUAACCACAUUCUAUAAAAUAUAAACAUCUAUGAGUAUUCAAGAGAUUUCUAGACUCAGAUAUUUUCACUACUGUUUAAUAUUUUCUGAUGAGAGACAUCUCCCAUUCUCUCCACAGUUCUUGAAUCUUCCACAGAUUGAGCUUUGAACAUAGGCUUGGACAAAUGUAAUUUGAUUGGAUCAUAAAAUUAGGUUGUACUUUUAAUAUUCCCUCUCAACACUAACUUUCAUCCUUCGAUCCAUAUUGGGCUGCUGGUAGAGCUUUCUGGUACUAUGACCUUUUGUAUACAAAUCCACAAUUUAAUCACUCGUCUUAAUGUUCUACAUUUCAACUUCAUCUUGCAAGAUCGUUUUCCUGAUCAAGUGAUAGUGCACCUCCACAUGCUUAGUUCUUGCAUAGAAAACAAGACUCUUCGCCAAGUUGAUAGCCGAUUGAUUAUCACAAUACAAUAAUGCAUAGUCUACUACUUGUGUAGAUCUUUCAUCAACUACAUCAAUCGAGUACUUUUUUAAGCUAACAUCAUUGCUGCAUUAUACUCCGCCUCUGUAGUUGAUAGUGAUAAAGUCAAUUGUCUCUAAGUACACCAAGAAAUUGCUCGAAAACCAAUUUUAAAAACUUACUUAGUAGUUGAUCUUCCUGUAUCAUGAUCUCCGGUGUAGUCAACGUCACAAUAGCCGACCAACUUGCAACUUUCACCUUUCUUGUAUAAUAUAUCAUAGUUUAUUGUACUUUUCACGUAUCUUAGUUUUGUUGAACUACUUCCAAAUGACGCUUCUUUAGAUUUUGCAUGUACUAACUCAUUACACCCAUUGCAUAUGAGAUGUCUAGUCAAGUUAGCAUUAGGUAGAUCAAACUACCGAUCAUCAUUCCAUCUUGUAAAUCUUUGCCUUCAUGUGUGCACAAUACACACAAUUUUGUAUUGACUUCUAUUGGAGUUGAGAUUGACUUGCAUUCUAACUUUCCUAACAUCUUGAGCAAGUCUUUGGCAUAUUUCUGUUGGCAAAGAAAUAUGCCCUCUUUUAUUUGAUCAAACUCUAGACAAUAAGCAAGAGAGUGACUUAGUGCUACACUGACAUGCAAAGUGGUCUUAACCAUACACAAAGGAUAAGAUUUUCAUCGUCCACGCAUUCUAGCUGGCUUGCUUAUCUCUUGCUGCAUUGGUUUGCGUCUUUUCUAGUUUCUAUCAUGCCCAUUAACGCUAGCUACAAAUGAUGUAUGUCUUCCUUAUUCUAAGAUUCAAUAUUAGCAUUAGUAUUUGUGUAACAAUAAAUAAAUAAUUAAGCUAAAAAAAUGUGAAGUUUAUUUUAUAGAGAAAUGUUUCUUGUCAUGAGUGGUCAUGUGCAAAUUUGUGUGUAAUGUCAUGUGCAAAUAGCAUUCCUCCAGCUUUGUUUAGAAGGAGCAAUGAUAUUUAAUUAAAUAUAGAUACAAAUAUGAUAGAACGUUGACAAAAAUAAUUAUAAAACAGACUUGUUUUACGAUGGCUAAAUUGAAAAAUAUUAAUCCACAAGCUAAAACAGAAUUGCUUUACAAUUGUUUUUUUCAGACUUUUCUAUCAAUCUUGGAUUUCUUUAACAAUUUUCAUUUAGAAGAUGUCCCUAUAGUGGCACAGUGAAAAAUUGAUCUAAUAUUAGAAAAAAUUCUCAGUAUUUGCAGAAAUGAAUCAUUUUCCUAUUCAUGUUUAAAAGUCCCUCAAAAAAUCGUCCAUGCUGUUGAAAACAUUUAUGUUAAGCCUCAACUCGUUUUGGCCCCCCAAUCUUUUAUUACUUUAUCCAAAAUAUGCAAAGCAUCCACUUAGUAUUUUUUUUUUUUAAGAACUAUGAGAAAAAAUGAUUAUUUUUCUACUAAAUCAAAUGAGGCUGACAAAAACAAUAGUCAAUAAGCUGCAUGAUAAUAAUUUUAUAUCUUAUCUAUUACGUCAAUAUUUUGAUUUGUGGCCAAUGAUAAAAUGUCAUCGAGUAGAUUACCUCUACAUUAUGAGUUAUGACCUAAGCAAUAGCUAAAUUUUAUUCGGUUUUGGGUUUUGGCUCUUCAAUCAUCGAGUUGUAUUCGAUAAGUAGGGGUAGGCACAAAAGCCGUUAUCACCAAAAAAAUAAUAAUAUUUAAAUCAGUGGUUUGGUUUAGUCCAAUUAUAAAAGUUAGAAAAAAAACAAUUAAUUUAUAUAAAAAAUCAAAAACCACAAAAAUUAAAAAAUACAAAAAAUUUUACCGUCUUAAACUAAAAAUAUCAAACCAAACCGAUUCGAAUUGCUUAAUUUAUUGAUCAAAGGUAUAUGAAAAGAUCCCGAGAUUGCGGGCUUGAAAGAGGCAUCUUUUCUAUUUUAAAGUAACAUUAUGAAUGAAGAAGGUCUGAUUCAUUAGGCAAAGCUUUGUAAAAAAUGAAAAAUAAAUGGUGUAGGUGCCUCAAAUCAAUUGAUUUCUGUGUAUUAUAUUCAGUAUGUAGAGUAUUGCAAAGGUUUAGCUACCAGCUCAGCUUAGUUAGUUACAGUUUGUUAGAACCAUGAAAUGUAUUGUGAUGAGAGUUAGCAAGUGAGUUCUUAGAUUAGUUAUAGAGAUCAUGAUUAAGAAAUGUAAGUAUAAAUAACAAUAGCUUUGCAACAUUCAUUAUGUCAAGAAAAGAAGAAUUCAGUUUCAUAAAGUCUCCAGAAUUUUCUCACACUUUCUUAACAAACAACAUCUCUAUCUGUCUUUCUUUCAUGGUAGCAGAGCCAAUCAUGGCCAAUUCAAGCAGCACAACCUCUAUUUCAAAUUAAAUAAAUACAAAUCGAUCAUUGCAAAUCUCAUUUUCCUUUUAGCACUCCAGUUAGGCUAGAUUGAUUAAACUUAUUGCAAUGGUGAAAGCAAGUUCUUACUUCAAUAAGAGGAAACUGUCUUGAGCAUCUCAAUUUUGGUACUCAAAUAAUACCAGCUUAAUACAUUACUCACACAGAAGCUGAUGGAUCAGUGUAGAAAAUUGAAAAUCUAGCUCACAUGAACUGAAAAGCAUAGAAUCAAACUCUUCUUGACUAAAUCUUAUCUUCAAUCAAUGAAGUAUCUUAAGCUCUAUUCUUAACUAUGGUAAUUCAUUUGAAGCAUGGAAAUCUAUUGAGAAACAAUUUGGAGUUCAAUUUGAAGUUAAGAUCUUGCAACUUCCAUGAGUUGAAUGUACUUAGAGAGGAAGAUAUGACUGUUAAGGGUAUUGCUUGAAAGUCAAAGCACUUGUUGAUAAACUUGUGUGUGCUGGUAGUCUAAUCUCUGAAAAAGAUCUAUUGAUACAAAUCUUGAAUGCAUUAGGACUUGGACACUUAGAUCUGGCCUCUAUAAUCACUGCAAAAAAAAUGACAUAUGACGAUGCAUAUACAUUGCUUUUGACACAUGAAGCUAGACUGGAAUAAAGUCAAAGUGUUAAGACUGUGUUUAAUGCAAAUUAUGGAAUAAUGAAUGUGAACUAAUGUUAGGCAAUGGGCUAUAACAGAAGAUGAGGCUAUAAUGGAUAUAACGGCACUUAAAUGCUGGAAAUAGAAAUUAUAGUAUAGAAAGGAAGGGGAAUGUUGCUUAAAGCAAAUUCAAGGAGUAUUUCCAAUGGUGUUCAUGGCAUUGGCAGAGGAUAAUGAAUGCACAUGCAAGCUUAUAGGCCAACUUCUUAUAACAAAUAUAUUUCCAAUACAACUCUUGGGCAAGUCUCAUUUUCUAAUGAAGAUGGAUCUGAUGAAAACAUGCCAGUAUGCCAGAUUUGCCAUAAAUCUAAGCACACUGCUGAUGCUUGUUGGCAUAGAUAUGUUGAAAACUAUGUACCUUAGCCUCGACAUUUUGGAACAGGCAAAGGCUAAAGGUCAGCAUAGAUGGCUAAUCUUGAGCCACUUUCUAGCUUUGCUAUACGUUUUGAAGAGCCACAUUCUAUUAAUUACUCUCAUCACUAGAUGUUUAAUACGAAUUCAAUGAUUCAAUCAUUGCCAUAUCAUUCUCUUGACUUUUUCUCUACUCCUAGAGCUGGUUAUAUUGCAAAUCAUAAAGUGUUAGUUGAUCAAGGUUGGUAUCUUGAUGGUGGAGCUACAUAUCAUCUGAAAAAUAACAUGGCAAAUAUGCAUAUUUGAUGUUGCUCUUGUUAGGGAUCUUCAAAUUCCUUCAGUAUGGGUGUCACAGCUUUAGGAAUCUUCAAAUUAUUGUAGCUCUCUUUUCCCAAUAAAAUAUAAACACUUUUUGUCUUUUUGCAACAUCUAUAAAUUGCUUCUUACCUAACAAAUAAUUACCCAAGUCUUGUUUGAGAGUGAACUCAUUGUUAAGUAGGAGAACAAUUUUAAUGUUGUUAAACUUCAAGCUGUAGGUGUUUAUUUUCCUAUCAUGCACUACAUUUUGAUCAUAUUACAAAGGCCUGCCCAGUAAUAAAUGACAAGCAUCCAUAGCCAUAACAUCACACAAAUUUGAUCUUUAUAGAUCGAUCCAAUGGAUAAGGAAACUAAGUAAUGUUUCGAUAUUGUCACUUGAUUUCUUUUCUUCACCCAUGUGAGCUGUACAGAGUUUAAUAAGGUUAUGUCUUUAAGUUUAGUUUCGUUACAACUUCAUUUGAGCACGUGACAUACUUUUCCCCAAUUGUGCAGGUAGUCUAGAAAAUAUUUUAUUGUAACCACUUGUCUUCUUAGCAUUUAGGAGUGAAGAAUGCACUAUUUACUAUUAACAUUGGUCUGCUAUUACCAUGUUCUUCAAUAGAUUGUGUACUGCCACUUCUAUCAAAAGUUAUCUCUUCAGUGAACUCUUUAGUUUCUUCGUCCUGGUAGUCUUUACUUUCCUUAGUGCCUAUGGAUAAGCCUUUACCACACUUUCAUCCUUUUUUAUACUCUAUCAGUCAGUGCCUACUUUCUUUGCAAUUAAAACAUCAUAAUCCCGAGCCUGAGGAUUGGGUUUUGUUGCUUUGAUCAUUUUCACUAGAUUUACUAGUUUUAUUUAAAGGAUUUGAAGGAGUGAAAUUACGAAAUUGGGAAGUCGGGUUUGAAUUAUCAUGAACAACACUUUGAGGACUCUAAAAGUUUGAGUCACUAGCACACUGACUAAAUUGCUUCUCCAACUGCAAAGCCUGUUAAUGUGUUUCUAAGACAGAGUAUAGAUCGAGUAAAUUCAUCUGGUCUUGAAACUGUGAUCAUAGGCCUCCAAUGUAAUGGGAAAUCUAUUGUUCUUCUGUCUCUGUCAAGUCAUUGCGUGGUACCAACCAAUGGAAUUCUAUGGUGUAAUCAUCCACUGAUUGAUUAUCUUGAAUCAAAUUUUCUAGUUCUUGGUAUAACAGUUUCCCGUAAUUGUAAGGUAAGAAUGCCCCAUGUAAGUGCUUCUCAACGUUUUUUAAGAGUCAAUCUUCUUUUUGCCUUGUGAUAACUCUAUGAAAUGAGAGUUAUUAUGGCACUUCUAGACUUAAAUCAAUAUUACUUAAAGAGAAAAUGAUGUGUUUCUAUUGCAUUUUUCUUACAUUUUGUAUAAACAUUCAUUUUAGUUUAGUCUUAAUAAAUUUUGUUUGAUUUAUAAUAAUUCGUGCUUAGAUUGUGUGCAUAAUUGUAGGUGUCCAGAAGCUCAUAUUUCAAGGAAGGAAUGCUGAUGCAAUAGGCUUGCAAAAAUGAGGAAAGAACAUGACUACAAAAAAAUUGAAACAAAUAUGAAACAAUAUAGUGCUGUAGUUGUUGCUAUAGCAACCAUUGUUGUAGAAAUACUAAAAUAACGACAGAGAAAAUUAAGCGCGGGAUACUUGCAAAAUCGCGAUCAGCAGUUUCCUAAUCUUACUUAUGCACGCCUUAGGCUUCUAUUUACCCUAAUUUUCAAUUAUAAAAGGAGCACGCAUCAUAAAGAAGGGGGUGGUGAAUUAAUAUUGAAGAAAUCAAAAGAAAAAGAAGUAAGAAGCAGAAUUUAAGAGAGAACAAGUCUGCACAAUUGAAGAAAUCUGCAAAACUAUUUAUAUUCAGUUUUCAUCCUUUUUCACUUAUUUUCUUACUUAUUCACUAAUUAAGACGAUGUAUUUCAUUAUUGAUAUUUUUUUGUUAAUUUUUCUUUUACAAGUUGUUAACUGAAUUUGAUUAUAGUUGAGUGAUAAACAAUCUCAAUGGGUUCUUGACUGUUCUUAUGAGUUGCUGCAAGAUUGUUGUAGCAUUUUGCUCUAAUGGCUUAUAUUACAAUCAUUAUUUCGGUUGACUUCCCAUUUAAUGGUUUAAGUUAAAAGAGAGCUGCAAAAGGGCCUGUUUUAGUGGAAAUUAUUAGAGUAAUUGAUCUUAAUUUAAGUUUCCUCGAUUGAGUUUAACUUGAGUCUCAAAAGGGCCACACUUAAGUUAAGAUUUGUGAAGAACUAGAUAUAGGGAUUCACCUUGUAGGGUAGAGAGAGUAUAUGUUCAUAAUGCCAUAUCCUAAGUGAAAUAACAACUGGUCAUUGUUAGGUUGCAUAAGGGUAUGAAAAGUCCAACAAGCGACAACUGAGGAUACAAAAUAAUUAUGCCCAGUGCUGUAGGGAUUGCUGCAGCAACUGGUGUUAAUUUGAACAAAACAGUCAGCCCAUGAAGAGAGUUUGAUCAUUCAACUACCUUAUUCUUAAUAAAUUCUUUUUGCACAAUUCAUUUAAUUUACCUUAGUAUUGCAUUUAUUUUAUUAAAUUGUUAAAUUCAUUAGUCAAUCAACUUUAAUUAGAUUUUUCUUUAGAUAGAAGGAAGUUUGCACUAUCGUGAUUGCUGUAGCAUUUCUAGUAACAUCAGUCCCUGUUGAGACGAUCUUGAAUAUUCAUCACUUUAUUACUUGUUGUAUACACUUGCACAUUGACAUCAAUAGCAAAUGAGUUAAAAUAACAAACAAAUUUUUGGUGUCGUUGCCAGGGACUGAUUAUUUAUUUUCGAAGUGUGAAGUUAAUCUUGACAGUGCCAACUUGAUUUAAUUUGUUCUAUUUAUUGACAGAUCAAGACUUGUAUGCGGAAAGACAAAUCUGUUGAAUUUCAAUUUGAUCCUGAGAUUGAAAAGACUGUAAGGAGAUUGCGAAGAGAGUAAAGAAAUUCAAAACUGCUUUAGAAAUGGAUAACUUGCAAGAUGUGGGAAACUUGAAUCCUCAUGGGCCACUACAAUUGUUAAUGUUCAAGAGGGCCAAAAUGGGCACAUUAAUCAGAGACAACCAGGCAACAACAAUGUCAUUUACAAUGCAGAUGACAGAGACAGGGCUAUCAGAGAUUAUGUUGUGUUAACUCCUCAAGUUGUACAUCCUGGAAUAGUCAGACCUUAAGUGGAAGCCGCCAACUUUGAACUUAAACCAGUAAUGUUUCAAAUGCUGCAAACAAUGGGACAAUUUAAUGGACUGUCAUCUGAAGAUCCUCAUCUCCAUCUUAAGUUAUUUUUGGAAGUGAGUGAUACUUUUAAAAUUGCUGGAGCAACACAAGAUGUUUUGAGAUUGAGGCUUUUUCCUUACUCCUUAAAAGAUCGAGUAAGAGCAUUGUUGAAUUCUUUAUCAUCUGAUUCCAUUACUACAUGGAAUGACUUGGCUGGUAAAUUCUUAAUGAAAUAUUUUCCACCAACCAAGAAUGCAAAAUUGCGGAAUGAGAUCACAUUUUUUCACUAACUUGAAGAGGAGAGUUUAUAAGAGACUUAGGAGAGAUUUAAAGAGUUGGUUAGAAGAUGUCCUCAUCAUGGCAUUCCAUGUUGCACAUAGCUAGAAACUUUUUACAAUGGGUUGAAUCCAAGUACUAGAUUGAUGAUUGAUGCUUCAGCAAAUGGAGCCCUAUUAUCCAAAUCUUACACUGAAGUUAUGAAACUUUAGAGAGAAUUGCCAACAAUAACUAUCAGUGGCCAUCAACUAGACAAACUGUAGCAAGAGGAGCAGCAGGGCUACAUAACAUAGAUGCAAUUACAAUACUGUCAGCUCAAGUAACAUCAUUGACUAACAUGGUGAAAGCCAUGACUUCUGCUCCUGCAGCAGUAGAGCAAGUUGCUGAACUAUCUUGUGUGUAUUGUGGUGAGGGGCAUGUAUUUAACAACUGUCCAGGGAAUCCAGCAUCAGUAACCUAUAUGGGCAACUUCAACCGACAGCCCUAGAACAACCCAUAUUCAAGUACUUACAACCCUGGAUGGAAGCAACACUCAAAUUUCUCAUGGAGAAAUCAAAAUCAACAUGCUCCAGCACCCAGUGGAUAGAACAGACAUACUCAGUCGCCUGGUUUUCAUCAGCAGAACCAAGGGCAAAAACACACUAGCCAUGAUCAAAUUAGUUCUUUGGAAACACUUAUUAAGGAUUAUAUCGUGAAGAAUGAGGCAAUUGUGCAAAGUCAAGCUGUAUCUAUGAGAAACCUGGAAAACCAAAUUGGACAGCUUGCCACAGUAAUGAGUAGAAGAUUCCAAGGAAGUUUACCUAGCAAUACAGAAGAUCUAAGAAAAAAGGGUAAAAAACAUUGUAAAGUAAUCAACUUAAGGUCUGGAAAAAAUGUUGACAUUCUUGUUGAUGUGGCUAAAAAGAGGGUGGAACUGAACUCCUCACAAGAACAGCUUCAAGUUGAAAGAAUGUUACAGCAACCUAGCCAUCAAGAUACUAGUGCUAGUAGUCAAGUUACGACAACCUUAGAAGGAAAUCACCCAAAAACUAUUGAAGAAGAUGUUGCAACACCAGUGGUGACAACUCACAAUAAAUCAAAGGAGCAAAUAUUUAUACCUCCUAAAGUUGUACAACAAUUUAGGCAUCCACCUCCUUUCCUACAGAGAUUCCAGAAACAAAAACAAGACAAACAGUUUAGCAAAUUCCUGGAAGUGCUGAAACAGUUACACAUCAACAUACCUUUUGUAGAAGCAUUGGAACAAAUGCCUAAUUAUGUGAAAUUUCUAAAAGAUAUCUUGGCAAGAAAAAUAAGGUUGGGAGAAUUUGAAACUGUUGCUUUAACCCAAGAAUGCAGUCACAUGCUUCAGAGCAAGAUUCCUAAAAAAUUGAAGGAUCUAGAAAGCUUCACAAUACAAUGUUCAAUUGGAGCUAGGUACAAUGGCAGAGCACUCUGUGACUUGGGAGCCAGCAUUAAUCUAAUGUCAUUAUUUUUAUUUAAACAAUUGGGAGUAGGAGAGUGCAGGCCAACAACAGUCACUCUGCAAUUGGCUGACAUAUCUCAUGCAUACCCUAAAGGAAAGAUUAAAGAUGUAUUGGUGAAGGUUGACAAAUUCAUCUUCCUAGUGGAUUUCAUUGUACUAGACUUUGAAGCUGAUAAAGAGGUACCAAUUAUACUUGGAAAACCUUUCUUGGCAACCGGGAAGACUCUGAUAGAUGUGUAGAAAAGAGAGCUAAACAUGAGGGUGAAUGACCAACAAGUCACCUUCAAUGUAUUGGAAGCUAUGAAAAUCCUGAUGAGGCAAAAGAUUGCAACUUUAUGAGUGUUGUGGAUUUUGCUGUAACAGAAAUAAUAAAUAGAUGCUGCAGUAAAGAAGUUAUCAAAGAUGCCACUUUUGAAAGCUUUGAAGAAGAAGAUGUUACAGCAAACCAGAUAAAUUGGAUAGGGGAAAAAUAAUCUACUAGAUGUAGCAGAUUUAUUGAACCUUUAAAUCUUUCAGACGGGGAAGUAAAGACAACUUUACCAUUUAUUGAAUUAAAACUGCUACCUUCACAUUUGAAAUAUGCUUAUCUUGGUCAGAAUAAUACACUUCCUGUAAUCAUUUCAUCUUCUUUGGAUGCAUAUCAAGAAAGGAGUCUGGUAGAUGUGCUUGGGAAAUACAAAAAAUUAAUUAGAUGGACUAUGGAAGACAUUAAGGGGAUCAGCCCAUCUAUAUGCAUGCAUAAAAUUCUGUUAGAGGACUUCUACAGCAAUUCAGUAGAGCAACAAAGAAGGCUAAACCCCAUUAUAAAGGAAGUUGUGAAGAAAGAAAUCAUCAAAUGCCUGGAUAAAAGGAUCAUAUACCCGAUAUCAGACAGUUCAUGGGUAAGGUCAGUAUAAUGUGUUCUAAAUAAAAGAGGAAUAGUAUAAUGUGUUCCAAGGAAAUGAGGAAUAGUACAAUAUGUUCCAAAAAAAUGAAGAAUAACAGUGAUAGCAAAUGAAAAGAAUGAACUUAUUCCUACAAGAAUAGUGACUGGGUGGAGGGUAUGUAUGGAUUACAGGAAGCUCAGUAAAGCCACACGGAAUGAUCACUUUCCACUUCCAUUUAUUGAUCAAAUGUUGGACAAACUUGCUGAAAAACAAUACUAUUGUUUCCUCGAUGCGUACUCAGGUUACAACCAAAUUGCUAUAGACCCAGAGGAUUGGGAAAACACUACAUUUACCUGCCCUUACGAAACUUUUACUUUCAGAAGAAUGCCCUUUGGUCUGUGCAAUGCUCCAGCAACUUUCCAGAGAUGUAUGAUGUCUAUUUUCUCAGAUAUAGUGGAGCAAACAUUGGAAGUCUUCAUGGAUGAUUGUUUACACAACUUGGAAGAAGUUCUUAAAAGAUGUGAGAUGACUAACUUAGUACUCAAUUGGGAAAAAUGCCACUUCAUGGUGCAAUAAGGCAUAGUGUUAGGUCAUAGGAUAUCCAAAAAUGACAUAGAGGUAGAUAAAUCAAAGAUAGAAGUGAUAGAUAAACUGCCACAUCCCACUUCAGUCAAGGGUAUUAGAAGUUUUUUGGGACAUGUUGGAUUCUACAGAAGAUUCAUAAAAGACUUUUCCAAAGUAGCUAAACCAUUAUGCUCACUGCUAGAACAUGACAAGCCUUUUCAUUUUGAUAAAGACUGUCUACAAGCUUUUAAAGAACUGAAGAAAGCUUUGAUCACUGCACUAGUGGUUAUAGCACCAGAUUGGACUCUACCUUUUGACCUUUUGAGUUGUUGUGUGAUGCCAGUGACCAUUCUGUUGGGGCAGUGCUGGGGCAUAGAAAGAAUAAGGCUUUCCACUCUAUCUACUAUGCUAGCAAAACUCUCACUCAAGCUCAGAUUAAUUACACCACAACAUAGAAAGAGCUGCUAGCAGUAGUACUUGCUUUCGAUAAGUUUAGAGCUUACUUGGUGGGUACAAAAGUGACAGUCUACACAAAUCAUGCAGCCAUUAAGCACCUAAUCUAAAAGUGAGUUGCCAAACCGAGAUUAAUAAGAUGGGUCUUAUUGUUUCAAGAGUUUGAUUUGGAGAUUAAGGAUAGAAAGGGGACUGAAAAUCAAGUAGCAUACCAUCUGUCUAGGCUAGAAGCCGAUACAAGUACAUUGACUAAACAAGACAUCACUAAAACAUUUCCUGAUGAAAAAUUGUUAGUGCCACAGCAUGCACAGAUGCUACAGCAACUAGGAUCUCCAUGGUAUGCAGAUUGUGCUAACUACUUAGUAAGUGGAUUGCUGCUACCUGAGUUGAAUUUUUAGCAAAAAAAAUUGUUUUUUCAUGAUGUUAGAAGCUACCAGUGGGAUGACCCAUACUUGUAUAAGUUGUGCUCAGAUCAUGUAAUACGAAGAUGUGUUUCAGAGGAAGAAAUUCCACAUAUACUACAAUCUUGCCAUGCUGCAGCAUAUAGAGGACAUUUUGGUGGACAAAGAAUAGCUGCUAAAGUUCUGCAAUCAGGUUAUUAUUGACCUUUUGUUUUUAAUGAUGCUUAUGAGUUUGCUAAAUAUCGUGACAAGUGCCAAAAGAUAGGAAACAUAACUCAAAGACAUGAAAUGCCAUUGACAAACAUUCUGGAAGUGGAGAUUUUUUAUGUAUGGGGAAUAUACUUCAUAGGCCCAUUCCCAACAUCCUUUGGGAAUUUAUAUAUCUUGGUUGCUGUGGAUUAUGUCUCCAAGUGGGUAAAAACUGCAGCAUUACCCAUCAAUAAUGCCAGAGCAGUGGUGAAUUUUCUUGAAAAAAAUAUCUUUUUCAGGUUUGGCAUUCCACGAGUAAUUAUUAGUGAUGAGGGUACUCACUUCUGCAACAAAGUAUUUACUGCAGCAAUGGCUAAAUAUAAAAUCAAGCAUAAAAUUGCAACAGCAUAUAACCCACAAUCCAAUGGCCAAGCAUAAGUGUCUAAUAUAGAGAUUAAGAAGAUUCUAGAAAAGGUAGGGAACCCUACAAGAAAGGAUUGGUCAUUGCGCUUACAUGAUUCCUUAUGGGCUUACAGAACAACAUACAAGACACCACUUGGCAUGUCUCCUUACCGAAUUAUGUAUGGGAAAGCUUGCCAUUUGCCACUCGAGCUGGAGCGCAAAGCAUAUUGGGCACUGAAGCAAUUAAAUUGGGAUAUACAUGCUGCAGCAGAGUAGAGGAAACUUCAAUUAUGUGAAUUUGAUGAAUUACGGUUAUUCUCAUAUGAAAAUGCAAGAAUCUAUAAGGAGAGGACAAAACAAUGGCAUGACAAACACAUCCAACAAAGAAAAUUAAUUCCUGGUCAACUAGUUAUGCUCUAUAAUGCCAAGUUGAGACUAUUUCUAGGAAAGAUGAAAUCUCAAUGGUCUGGACCCUUCAAGUUGCUCAGAAUUUAUCCUCAUGGGGCUGUUGAUCUCUUAGAUGAAAAGACAAGCCAUGAAUUCAAAGUUAAUGAGCACAGAGUUAAGCAUUACAUGCAUUCAGCUACAAAUUGCUCAAAGGAGGCCUUACUCCUUAGUGAAUCGGCAGUGUGAGAACUCAAGGAAGGUCAGGCUGAAGGACUUAAAUCAAGCGCUCAAUGGGAGGCAACCUAUGGCUGAGGCAGUCAUUUCGAAUGAAAUGGAUCCUCCAUGUUUCUAUUAUAAUAUUUUUUUUCUCUUAUUUUCAUUUUUUUCUUAUUUAGGAAUGUUUAAUUUUUAACUUUUAUUGUUUUGCUUUAAAAAAAAAUGAAAUGAAAUAUGCUAAGUCACGUAAUACUUAGAGUUGGAUUCAAUACUGACAAUUGGUGUGGUAAUGUUAACAGAUUACACAGACAAGCUACUUGACAGUAGCUAUCUGAGGAGAUUGUUGUGCAGAUUGCUAGAGCACACAAUUUGUUGCUACAGCAACCAAUUUUACCAUUACAGUCACUUAAUUACGGAGCCUCACAUUUUACCGUUGGAGAUAACAUGUGACAGCUGGUUGGGUGAACUCGGAUAGAGAUUGGGGAAGGAUGCUUAAUCUUUUAAAUGACCGCAUCAAUAUCUCUUUCCUAUUUUUAUAGGAUAUUAUUAAUAAAUUCAAAAAAAAAUCAUCCUUAAUUUAUCUCUUUUAUCGGAUUUGUUUUAAUUUAUUUCCACUUAUAUAAGGGUUUCACUGUGCAUAUUGAUCUCUAAUACUAUUUUCUUUUCCUUUCACAGUCCCAACCCCAUGACCUCAUAACCUCUUUUUCUCGUUUCACCCUUGGACAUAUUACCACAGUCAUCCUACUGCUGUAGCAAUGCUAAUGUAUAAAAGGACAGCCAGUCGACUAAAAGAUCCCUCACGAUUUCAAAGUUACCAUGCGAAAAAGAAGUAUGAAGAGUUCAUUAAACCGCGUAAGAUUUUAGAAGAAAAAGGAUUUCAGUUCCCACCUCAAGCAUCGGGAAUUGUGCAAUCAUUAUACACUGCUACAGUAAAGCGCGGGUGGCUGGAGUUUUGUAACCACCCUCGAGACCCUGUGUUGUCACUGGUGAAAGAGUUUUACACCAACUUAUUAAGCCUUAGUCAGCACAAUAUUAAUGCUUUCUAUAAUUUACCCUUCGAAGUUAAUUGCGAGUAUGCCAAAUUACUUGACAAAUUAACCCCACAAAGAUGGAACAAAAUUUUCACAACACUUACCGUAAAUGGUGCAUCUUGGGCUAAUGAAGAAGGGCAUAUGAUUAAUAGGAUAGAUUUGAAACCCAUUGCUAAGGUGUGGGUGAAAUUUUUAAAGUCCAGAUUGAUGCCAACCACACACACCACCACUGUUUAACAAGAGAGGUUAGUACUUUUGUAUGUCGUUGUUAGAGGGUUACCCAUAGAUGUGGGAAGCAUUAUAGAAAAAGAAAUUCGAGACUGUGCUAUGAAAAACCACAAAGCAGCUGCCUUGCUAUUUCCUUCACUAAUCACCAGCAUUUGUGUAGUAUCCGGAGUCUGCCUUAAUGCAAAAGAUGAACAUGUUAAGAAUAAUGGUGCUCUCAUUGCAUGCACCAUCGAAUGCAUUACUGGUGUAGUUUCUGGAGCCCCACCCGAACCGGCUGUUGUAGCAGGGGCAAGACGAGUUGUUGGUUUAUAGUAGAGAAUUCAAGCACUGAACACUGGCAUCACUUAAUAUGCUGAAGCUCAUCAGAGGGAAAACAAUCAGUUUUGGAGCUAUUUGCAGCAUUUGGAGGACCACUUAUACCAAUUUACUGUAUAUAUGAAAAGUACCCAUUGAAAUUUCCCUGAUUCAUUGCUACAGUAGUACAAUUUUGGUACCUCCACUACAAAUGGUCCAGUAGAAGUUAGUGAAGAUGCUACUGACAUAGAUGAACCAGAGGAAAAAACUGUAGCAGACCCGCAAGCAGAUGCCAAUAUAGAUGCUGAUGACCAGUCAGACUAGCUUGAAGAAGAGGGUGUCAAGUCUACAACUGACAGUUCCCCGACAGAGGAGGAGGAAGAGCCUGAGAAAGAACUCAAGGAACCCCCAGCCAUGACCUCUUCCAAGUUCAGGAAAAAGCACAUCAUAUGAGCAGAGGAAGAUGAACCUGCAGAGGAGCCUCUCACUCCAGUCCUCUCUCGAAAGGGCAAAGAGAAAGUAAUUACCCCUCCUGCCUCUGAUGAUAAAUCCGAGCAAAUUGAUGCAGAGCUGGAAGCUGCAGCAGCCAGGGUUACUCGUACACCCAUCAAGACAAAGCAUUUACUUGAUAUCAUUGCCGCAAUCACAACUGAAGGGUAUACAGCCGAAGACCCAGCUCUAUCUCCUUUAUAGCAAACCCCCAGCAAACCUAUUCUCGCUAGUCCUAAAGGACCCAGCAAGAGAAAAUAGGGCACUUCUGGAGGUGUUGCUGCAGUAGACACACCAGAGCCAAAGCGGACCAGAUCUGUUUCGUCCCAGCAUACUGUACCCACUGCAACUCCUCCCACUAGCCCAUCACAGAGAAAGAAAAAGACACUACCAGCUACUUUAACACAAGAAUCUCCUAAGGACCGGCUGCGGAGCGCCUCCAAAAAGCAGUGAAUUGGGUGUAAUUUGUUACAACAGUACUUCCAACACCAGAGGAGUACCGCUACCCGCUAGUUUAUUUUACUUCUUCCUGCAAAAACUUUUUUUUUCAUUUAGUUUUAAUUUUCUGAUUCAUUUUGCAUGUCCUUUUAUUUGGUGUAUGCAUAUCUGGUUUCUGUGGUUUUGUUUUGUGUUCGUGUGAGGACACAACACCUUUCAAGUUUGGGGGGGUUUUGUGCUGUUAUACAGUGUGUGAUUGAGUGCACUGCAUGUGUUGUUGUGUCGUUUGUUAAGUGAAGCUCUGUUAUCUACUGCUUGUGUAUGGAUUUGAAGUGAAGCUCUGUUAUCUGUGCACUGCAUGUGUUGUUGUGUCGUUUGUUAAGUGAAGCUCUGUUAUCUACUGCUUGUGUAUGGAUUUGAAAGCCUAAUGAAGAUAAAUUGAGUGUUACUCAGUAUGUAUGAAUGCCCAGUAGGGAUAGUUAUAGAUGGAGGUUGAAAUUCCAUCCCGACACUUAGAAUUUGGUUGAGAUUCAUGAGAAUACUGCAACAAAAUCAAGAAAACUGCAAAGAGUAGAAAAUAUCUCAAGUUUGAGGGACAUUUUUGUGUUGAACUGUGCUUAUUUUGUAAUAAAGUCUGCUCCAAUGGCUUAAGUGCCUGAGUAACCAGGGCUGAGUAUGUAUCCCAUAUGCAAACUUGAGUUAAAAGUCAGCAAGAGUUAUGAGCAUUGCUGUAGCAAUUUAUAUAUAUAUAUAUAUAUAUAAAGAAGUCCUCUAUCUGAGAAAUUGAGCAGCCAGGUCUGUUCAUCAGCCCCAUAUUCAGCCUUAAGUUAAAGAUAUCUUUAGAUAAGACUAUGUUAUGACUAUUGCUGCAGCAACUCUAACAUGUACGUUGAGUGAGUAAUUGGGUGUCAUUAUUACAAGUGAUAGGCAUUCACAUGAAAGCUCAAUGUUGCAUUGUAAAAAAAAAAAUUGUUUGUUGAAGCACAAUUUGAGUUUAUUUGUGAAUUCUACUCUCUCAUAUGUGAAUGUAUUUGUGUUCUAUCUCUGAAUUAUAUGCAAUGUCUCUGUAGUGUUGUAGCACCUCUGGACUUUGAUCAAAGUGGCACACACACAUUUUGGACAAAAUGCAACCUAAGUCUAGAACUGAACUGCUAUAGCUAUUUUGUGUGAUUAAGAGUGUGAUCUGUGGGUGGAAGAAUCCUUGCAACUUUGAUGACAGAGCUGAGCUAUUUGUUGCAUGAUUGGGUGAUUGAAGUGUUAGUAUUGUUGUCAUUACUUGAGGACAAGUAAUGGUUUAAGUUUGGGGUGGUGAUAACUCUAUGAAAUUAGAGUUAUUAUGAACUUAUAGACUUAAAUCAAUAUUACUUAGAGAGUAAAUGAUGUGUUUCUAUUGCAUUUUCUUACAUUUUUCAUAAACAUUCAUUUUAGUUUAGUCUUAAUAAAUUUUGUUUGAUUUAGAAUAAUUUGUGCUUAGAUUGUGUGCAUAAUUGUAGGUGUCCAAAAGCUCAUAUUUCAAGGAAGGAAUGCUGAUGCAAUAGGCUUGCAAAAAUGAGGAAAGAACAUGGCUACAAAAGAAUUGAAACAAAUAUGGAACAAUGUAGUGUUGUAGUCGUUACUGUACCAAUCCUGGAACAACAACAGAGAAAAUUUAGCGUGAGAUACUUGCAGAAUCGCGAUCUACAGUUUCCUAAUCUGACUUAUGCACGCCCUAGGCUUUUGUUUACCCUAAUUUUCAAUUAUAAAAGGAGCAUGCAUCAUAAAGAAGGGGGGCGGUGAAUUAACAUCAAAGAAAUCAAGAGAAAAAGAAGGAAGAAGCAGAAUUUAAGGGAGAACAAGUCUGCACCAUUGAAGAAAUCUGCAGAACUAUUUAGAUUAGUUUUCAUCCUUUUUUACUUAUUUCCUUACUUAUUCUCUGAUUAAGACGAUGUAUUUCAUUGUUAAUAUUUUGUUGUUAGUUUUUCUUUUACAAGUUAUUAACUGAAUUUGAUUGUCGUUGAGUGACAAACAAUCUCAAUGGGUUCUUAACUGUUCUUAUGAGUUACUGCAACAUUGCUGUAGCAUUUUGCUCUAAUGGCUUAUAUUUCGAUUGACCUCCUAUUUAAUGGUUCAAGUUAAGAGAAAGCCGCAAAAGGGUCUGUUUUAGUAGAAAUUAUUAGAGUAAUACUUGAUCUUAAUAUAAGUUUCCUGGAUUGAGUUUAACUUAAGUCCCAAAAGGGCCACAUUUAUGUUAAGAUUUGUGAAGAACUAGAUAUAGGGAUUCACCUCGUAGGGUAGAGAGAGUGUAUGUUCAUAUUGCCAUAUCCUAGGUGAAAUAACAACUGGUCAUUGUUAGGUUGCAUAAGGGUAUGAAAAGUCCAACAAGCGACAGCUGAGGAUGUAAAAUAAUUCUGCCCAAUGCUGUAGGGAUUGCUAUAGCAACUGGUGUUAAUUUGAACAAAACAGUCAGCCCAUGAAGAGAGUUUGAUCAUUCAACUACCUUAUUCUUAAUAAAUUCAUUUUUACGUAAUUCAUUUAAUUUACCUUAUUACUGCAUUUAUUUUAUUAAAUUGUUAAAUUCAUUAGUCAAUCAACUUUAAUUAGAUUUUUCUUUAGAUAGAAGGAAGCUUGCACUAUCGUGAUUGUUGUAGCAUAUCUAGUAACAUCAGUCCCUGUGAGGACGAUCUUGAAUAUUCAUUACUUUAUUAUUUGUUGUGUACACUUGCACAUUGACAUCAAUAGCAAUUGAGUUAAAAUAGCCAUCACAUUGCCUAAUCCUUGUGAGCAUAGUUUGUUGGCACUAAGCUGCUGCUCUUUCACCUAACUUGUGUUUGAAUUCUGGAGUAGGAUGACGUUCGGUGAGUAACUUUGCCGUUCGUGCCAUUUGUGCAGCUAAGAUAUCAAUCAUGCCUAUCAUUUUAGUCGAGGCUUUAUCUCUAGGAACAUCAUCCUAAUUGUAAGUUGCUCUAUAAGGGCCAUGAUCCUAGGCUUUUCUUGGUGGCAUUUUCUAAAUUUUGGCUAAAAAAGGGGUCUGGGGGCUAAACUAAAAAUUGAACAGAGUUUAAGGUAAAAUUUAGUAAUAAAGUGAAAGUUUAGGUUCCCUGUGAUGGUGAUAAAAAAUCAACCAAGGAUGGGUGGAUCUAAAAGAUUUUGUAUCAGUGAGGAUGAUGGUUAGUGGUGGUUUGUCCAAAAAGGUGGUGUUUAGGUCGAAAUUUUGAGAUAAAGGCGGCGGGUUUGUAUUUGUUUUGAUUUUCGGAGAUUAGUGCGCCAAUAGGCAGUGGGGAAUGGUGAGAGAGGUUCAGCUGAUGGAGAGGAGUUGAUUGGUGGUGAUAAUGAUAGCCAAUACGAUCAGAAUCUAGCAAAUGACAACGGCAGUUGACACGGCUGUUUUGGCAAUUUUUCUGGUGUUUUGUGGCCAAUUGAUAGUGUUCGUCACUUGGGGUUUGAUGGUCGGCUUUUCUGUCUUUGGUGGUGGAGGUAAUAGACGGAACAAUGAUGGAAAAGUUGUGCCAGCAGCUAUAGACGACAAUUGCUAUAGUGCUGACUUUUUUGUUGCAGUAUAUAUAUAUAUAUAAAGCUAAAUAAAAAAGAAAUCAAAAACACGAAAAGAAAAGGUUUUUGGUGGUAGAUAGUGUUAGAUUGGUAAUACCAGGACUUUGCCUCUUACACCUUGCAGCGAAAGUUGAAAGUUUAAAAUAUUUUGUUGAUUUUAAAGAAUAUUAGAAUACUAGAAUAAAGAAUAAGUUAAAUUCAUGUUGAUUCAAAAUAAUACCACGAAUUUAGGGGUUAAGACUUGAUGAUUCCACAGGAUAUUGAGAUCGAGAAUUAACUAACUCGUAUAAUCACAAGAAAUUUGAAAAUUGAAAAUAUCAUUGAACUUGAAUCUGCCUUCAAAGGCUACAAGAGGGAGUUAUUUAUAGUAGUAGUGAUUAUCCUAAAUUAUUAAAAAGGAAAAAAAAAUUCUAAAUUAGAAAGGAAAUUAAAAGUCCUAAACAUAGUUUAUAAGGAAACUGUGUUGGGGUUGGGGCCUCAGCAUCCUUCUGUGCGCUUGUAAGUAUAACAUCCUUCUGUGUAAUUCCACUAGGUAGCAGUAAGGGUACCUAGGGCGUAACUGCCUAGCUCGUUGGCACAAAUAUGCAGCCUUUCAUGUCCACCCGCUACUUAGUGUAGGGCUCUGCACUUCCAUGGUAUAGGAAAAUAAAGUUAAGCCUUAGCUAUCAGCUUAAGCUUUCAGUCUAGUGGUAAACGCUUGAUCGUAACAAACGAAUCCUAGUAUAAUCUAGAUUCCUAAUCUGCAUCAAUAUUAAUGAACAAUUCAAUGGAUCAGAUUAGCUCAUUAUUGGCAAUGGACAAGGUCUGACCAUAACUUAUAUUGGUGAUGUAUUCCUCGCUUUUAAAAGCUCUAAUAUUAAAUAAAAACACAUACUUGUAGCUCUCACAAAUAUCUUACUAGUUUCCUCCAUUACCAAGAACCUUUUAAGCAUUUCCAAACUUACUAUUGAUAACAAUCUGUCAAUUGAAUUUUUUAAUAAUGUCUAUAUUAUGAAGGAUAAUCUAGAGGGCAAAUAUUAAUGUAGAGCCUUGUUGAGAAAAGGUUAUGUAGGCUAUUAAUAAACCCCUCUCGGUCAUCAUCUUUAUUCUUUCUUUCCUAUACGUCUUUCAAUCAACCAUUUUUUAUGUUAUUACGCUAUCAUUUUGAUUCUAUUGUUCAUACUAGUAUUGUUAAUAAAACUGCGAAUUUGAAACCUUGUUAUCAAACUCUUAUAUCUCUUUCCAAUACAUCAGUCAAUAAAGCAAUAGUAUUUCAUAGAAAAUUUGGUUAUCCUAAUUCUCAAAUGAUGUUGCAUAUGCUGAAAAAUAUUAAAUUCAUUCACAUUCCUACAUAUUGAAUACAAUAGUUGCAUCAAACAACAUGUGAAGCAUGCUAGAUGGGCAAAGUUCACGGACUUUAUUUUCCCUCCACAGAUACCAAAACUUCCAAAGUUCUUGAACUCAUACACAUAGACUUAUAGGGACUUGUUCUUAAUUCUAUCUUGAGAUGGUUAUCAUUAUUACAUAAGUUUCAUUGGAUGAUUGGAUAUAUCCCUUAAAAUUCAAGUCAAGUGCAUUGGAAGUUUUUAAACUUUUUAAGUUGCAGAUCAAAAAUCACUUCAAUACCACUAUUAAAAUGCUGCAAUCUGACUAAAAGGGAAUAUAGGCCUUUCACAAAAUUCUUAAACCAAUCAGGCAUUAUAUUUCGACAUUUCUAUCCAUACACACAUUAUCAAAAUAAGUUGGUUAAGAGGAAAACAUUAGACAUAUUAUAGAAUUAAGUCUAAUUCUUCUUGCUCAAGUUCAAUUCUAGUGAGAUGCCUUCCAUACAGUAGUAUAUCACAUUAAUAGAUUACCAUCUAUUGUUCUAAACUCUUAACCAUGUAUGCAAAUACAAACCUAACUAUGACAUGCUCAGAUCUUUUGGCUACACAUUAUAUCCUUAUUUGAAGGAUUAUAACAAACAUAAGUUUGCUUACCAUUUUAGCAAAUAUAAAUUCAUUAGUUAUAGUCUAUCACAUAAAAGAUAUAAAUGCUUGCAUGCUUAAGGUUAAAUGUAUGUUGCCAGACAUGUUAUUUUGAUGGGUUCAAAUUUCCAUAUGCUACAAAGUCUAUAUUUCAUAGUCAUACAAAAUCUAGCUCUCACUUUUCACAGUCUAUUACUCCUCAACAUGUAUAUCAUUUUUCUACUUUACCUAUCAUACCAAUCCUUCCCAAUGACAACAUUGAUAAUCUAAACUCUGUAAGUUUUGAAAGCAACAGUUCAAUCCAUUCAUUUUUUCUUGAACAAUAAGAGGCCAAUCGAGGUUGACAAUAAGGUACUACUAGUAAUAUUUUACUUUCACACACAUAAGCAUCAACCAAUGAUCCUAUACACAAUCCAUCACUCCCUUAAAAUCUUAUCUCACCCAAUCGACCGUCAAUUAACUCACAUAUUCAUUCUCAUCCACAAUAAAACAUGUAUAAGAUGAUAACCAUAAGCAAAGUAGGCGCCUUUAAGCCAAAAGUAUAUACUACUACUCUCAUUCACAAGGAAUUAGAUAUUGUACAAGAGGCCACUACAAGAAAAUAGGGAUAAGGCAACAUCAUUUUAACAACGUGCACGUAUGAAAUGUUGUCAAAUUUAUAAUUUAACAACAAUCGCAAAUUGCAUGUUGGCAAAUAUAAAGUUUUAGCAACACACAAUGAGUGACCGUUGAGUUAAACUUUAUCACAACAAGCAAUCAUUUGUUGCGAUACAGGAAUAUGUAAUGACAACAUUCAAACUUUGCAUGUUGUAAUUAGUUAUUUAAGACAACAUUGAAUUGUCUGUUGCAUAAAUUAUUAUUUAAAUAACAACAUUUAGUUGUGUGUUGUUAAAUUUUUUUUAACUCAAUUUAAUAUGAAGUUGGUAUAAAUUAGACAUAAAUAGAUGCUUAUGAAAUUUAUUCAUAAAAAUAUUAUAACAAAAUUUUUUUUGAGUAUAUCAUUAACUAUAUUUCUUAGAACUAAAAUAGUAGAAAAUAAUGUGCAAUAAAUAAAAAGUUUCAUUGCGCGCGCAUAAGUUAUACAACGCGGGUUAAAGCGCGGCAAAAGGAAGAUGAAAAAAAAAAGACAAAUUGACUAAACCAAAAAAAAGAAAAGAAAAGAAAUUGACUUAAUGAAACCUGGGUUCACUUUACAAUGCCACUUUACUCUUUCUCUGCCACUCAAGCAAAUCAAGCCCCUUCAUCGUCAUUGUAAUAACAAGUGCCCAAGGAAUCGGGUUUAUCAGGUACAUUUCUUUUCAAUUUCAUUAAUAAAGCUCAGUUUCACUUUCCUAAUUCCAUUUAAUUAAUAGUUGGCUCUUUCCACUAAUUCUUUUCAGGAGAUUUCGGGCUUUGUCCUAAUGUUCCCACUCAAAAUCGUUCCAGAUGGUCCCAUUGCAAAUUCAUUGCUUGGUAUGUGGGACAAUUCUUUAUUGUUUGUGGGGUUCAUAUGUUAUGACAUAAACCAAACUAAUAUUAAUUUUUUGUGGUGGGUCAUUGAAACCAAAAGAUGAUUUUCUUCUUUGAAAAUAUUUACACGGAAAAGCUGAUUUUGGAGAUUAUAUUUUAUUUUUAAUUUAAAUUAGUAAAUAUUACUAGUGAGAUGGAUAAUGAUUUCUUUUAAUUGAGUGGCGCAAUUUUAAUCUAUUAUUGGUGUUGUUGACAUGAUGAAACAGGUAAUUUCUAUUAACGCCAUUGAACAUAUUCUCCUUUAUCAGCAGUGACUUUUUACAAUUUGACUGCGAAGCAAAACUUGAGGUAUUGCUUUUUGCUGUAUAAUUAAAAUUCUAAAUGAAAAUUCUCUAUUUUGAUGUUUGCUUUAAAAAAUUUAUUGCAGUUAUAUUAUUUUGUCUAUUUUAUGUUUGUUCAUAGUCUUAUUCUGUUAACUUUUACUAACCUAUUGGAUACUCUAAAUGGAUCCUAUUUCUUUAUAUUUAUCUUUAUAUGGUCCAAACUAAUCACCUUUGCACAACCAGGUCUUGCCAACAUUAGUAAUUCAAAAUGGAUAAAAGAUGGGUCUACUUCUCAAGGUUUCAUGUUUAUUUAAUAAAAUAAUGAAUAGUUUUAGGAACAAUUAUAGCUUUAGAUUAACCAAUAAGUUAUUACUCUCAUUAUUAUUUUUUUGUAGACAUUCAGAUGAAUAUAGAAAGGGAGCACGUGAUUUUGUUAAUAGUGCUCGUGCAAAUUCAGGUAAUCUAGAUAUAAUAGUAUGUCCCUGCAUUCGUUGUAAGAAUGUACAACGCCACCAUUUUGAUUUAGUGUAUGAACACUUGGUUAUGAAAGGCAUGGAUCCUACUUAUAAUACUUGGGUUCUUCAUGGAGAAAAUUCUACUUAUUCUGGAAUGUCAAUGCAAUGUGGUGAUAUUGAAAUGACAGAAACAUAUCAGAUGUAUAGAGAUCAAGUUUAUUUUCAGGAGCCAAAUGUAUCAGAGCACACACAUGAAAGUAGCAAAGUAGAGUUCACAAAUCUUAUCAAAGAUGCUGAAACUCCAUUGUAUCCUGGAUGUACAAAGCACACAAAAAUAUCAGCAAUUGUUUCCUUAUUCAAGCAUAAAGUUACCCAUGGUAUAUCUGAUAAAGGUUUUGAUGAACUUCUUCAAAUUGUUCGUGAUAUUCUUCCAUCAGAAAACACACUUCUAAGUCAUUGUAUUCAACAAAAAAGCUACUGUAAGACCUUUGACCUUGGGUAUGAAAAAAUACAUGCUUGUAUAAAUGAUUGUUGCCUUUUUAGAAAGGAGUUAGGGAAUGCACAUAUGUGCCCUAAAUGUGGUGCUUCCCGUUGGAAAGUUAAUGAGCGCACUGAAAAGAUUCAACAAGGAGUUCCUGCCAAAGUUUUGCGUUAUUUCCCAAUAAUACCAAGACUUAAAAGGAUGUUUAGUGUAACUGAUAUGGCAGAACAACUUAGGUGGCAUCAAACUCAUAAAAGUCAAGAUGGCAAAAUGAGGCAUCCAGUGGAUUCGCUUGCAUGGGAUAUUAUAAACAAGAAGUGGCCAUCUUUUGCAUCUGAUUCCCAAAACAUUAGAUUUGGCCUUGCUACUGAUGGUUUUAAUCCCUUCCAAGAUCUUAGCACAAGAUACAGUUGUUGGCCUGUAAUUUUAGUCAUCUACAAUUUGCCUCCAUGGUUAUGCAUGUCCAAGGAUAGUUUAAUGUUAAGUUUAUUAAUUCCAGGGCCAAAGCAACCAGGUAAUGACAUAGAUGUUUAUUUGGCACCGCUUGUAGAAGAUUUGAAAGAGCUAUGGAUAAAUGGAGUUGAAGUGUAUGAUGCAUUGAGUGAAUCCACAUUUAAUUUAAGGACAAUUUUAAUGUGGACCAUUAAUGAUUUCCCAGCUUAUGCAAAUCUGUCAGGUUGGUCUACAAAGGGAAAAUUGGCAUGUCCCGUUUGUCGUCAAAAUACUUGUUCGAAAUGGCUGAUUAUUAUUAUUAUUAUUAUUAUUAUUAUUAUUAUUGGCAACAUGCAAGAUAUGUUGUUUAUUGUAAAAAAAAAUUGAAAUUAAUGGCAACAAUUAGUUGCUUGUUGCUAUAUAGUUUAUGACAACAUUCACAAGCUUGUAGUCAAAAAUUUGGAUGCACAUGACCUUUUUAACCACAAUCACUACAAGUUGUCAUAAGACAUUUAACAACAUUCAUAUCUUUUUCAACAACAUAAAUUGCGCGUAGUUGAAAGUUACCUACUUUUCGCUACAGCAAGAACCGCAACAUGCAUGUGCUCGUCGUGAAACCCCUUCCACAACAAGCUUUGCCUGUUGUCAUAUAGUAUUUUUCUUGUAGUGGGCCUUAAGUGAUUUAAGGUGGUUGUAAGCCAUGAUGGAAGAGUAUGAUGCUUUAAUCAGAAAUAGUACAUGGACAUUAGUUCGAAGACAAGUUGAUCAGCAAGCUGUUGGAAACAAAUAAUUGUACAUAAGCAAGUAUAAUAUUGAUGAAAGUGUGGCUAAAUACAAAGUCAGGCUAGUUGAUAAGGUUUUUAGCAAGUAGCAAGUGUGGUAUGACAAGCUCAAAGUUGUCUGUUGCAUUGGGGUUUUGUUAAUACAACUCAGACCCCUUUAUGUUUAUCAGAAGAAAUACAAUAUAUUUUAUUCUAACACUCAUUUAUUUUGAUGAUAUAUUGAUCACAGGUCCCAACACUUCAGAAUUUGAAAGCUUUAUAGCCCAAUUCAGUGUAGCAUUCGCUUUGAAAAACCUUGGGAUUUUAUCUUAUUUCCUUGGAAUUAAUGUGUAUGAUGUAGACUGUAUACAUCUAUCACAAAGGAAAUAUAGGAGAGAGUUGUUGACUAAAGUUGAGAUGAUUGAUAGAAAAGGAAUUGACACUCUUAUGGGUACUAGAACGAAGUUGAAAAAGUUAUCCAAGGGGAACUUGGAUAUUAUCUUGACGAUCCUACACACUAUAGGAGAUAGUUGGAAGAAUGCAAUACUUGAAUACUAACUAUAGGCCAAAAAUUGAUUUUGCUGUCAACAAGCUCAAUCAAUAUGGCUUUGCUCCUACUUUACAACAUCUAAUGGCAUAUAAAUAGUCUUAAGGUAUCUGAAAGUGACUCAAGAUUAUAGCCUGAAGUUCACAAGAGAAGGAAGCAUGAAACACACUGGUUUUACAAAUGCAGAUUGAGUAUGUGACUUAGAUGACAAGAAAAUAGUUGGAGCUUAUUAUAUGUACUUAGGCAAUAAUCUGAUAUCAUGGUCAUUGAAGAAACAAUAUGUUAAAAUAAGGUCUAGUGCAGAGAGUGAGUAUAGAAUUAACAUGGUUACAAUCUUUGUUCACAAAGCAGGGGGCAUAUUGUACAGAAAAACUAACAAUUUGGUGUGAUAACGUUAGAGUCACUGAAUUGGCAAAAAAUCAUGUUUAUCAUUUAAGAACAAAACAUAUUGGAAUAGAUAUGCAUUUCAUUUGAAACAAAGUGGUUGCAAGAGAGCUUAAGCCAAGUGAGGAACAAAUUGCUACUAUAAUGACCAAGCCACUUUCAUUUGUGAGAUUUAAUUACUUGAGAGCCAAACUCAAUGUUCAUCUUUAUCCCUUGAGUUUGAGGGCUAGUUGAAGCAGCUCAUUGUGGAGAAUGAAGGAAUGAAAAGUAAGAGAAAGAGAAACUUAAGGUAAAGAAGGAUGUAGAGUAUCGCAAAGGUUUAGCUAUUGGCUCAGCUUAUUUUGUUACAGUUUGUUCGAAGUGUUAAAUGUAUUAUGGUGAAAGUUGCCUGAUGAUUUCUUAGAUUUGUUAUAGAGAUCAGGAUUAUGAAAUGUAAGUUUAAAUAAAAACAGCUUUGUAACAUUCAUUAUAUGAAGAAAAGAAGAAUUCAGUUUCAUAAAGUGCUCUAGAAUUUUCUUACACUUUCUUAACAAACAAACAUCUUAAUUUAUCUUUCUUUCAUUGUGAAAUCCCAUUAUUCACCAAAUGCUGAGGUCAAAAUUUUCUCCUUCACUACUGAUAUUAUUAUAAUUCCCAAAUACUGAAGGUAUAUUGAAAAUAAAUGAUUGAUUUAAAAUUUUAUUUCAUGCGGGAAGGUUGUUUCAAACUAGGAAGUUUGUGUUUAACUAUCUGCAGUGGAAAAAAAAUCUAAUUUUAAAAUCAUCAUGAGAUUAUAAAUGCCAUAGAGCCAUUUUUUUUAAUUAAGAGAAUAUUAUCUUAUUUCUGUUAAAUUUGUUAGUAGUGUACGUCUUGUUUGUAAGGGUCCACUGUUUGUCACUAAAUUAACUUGUAGGAUCAAACUGAGCAUUAUAUUAUCGUACAUAGAAACCAAGCAGGGAAUAAGCACAUAUUCACGGAUGGAAUAUUAAUACGUGAUCUUGUUACCACAGAUUCAAAAAAGUCCUCAUCAAAGAAUAGAAACGGAUAUUGUGAAAAAACACAGCAGGGUUAAUACAAGCGCACUGGAUGUUGUUUUGUUAAGUCAAAUAGUAAGCAAAUGCUCUUUCUUAAAAUAAUACCAGUCGAGAUACAGUAGUUAAUACCAUAUUAUUUCUCAUUUGGCUCAAAAAAAUUAUGGGAUGAGAAAUCCGCUUGUCAUAAAUCAAACACUGACAAAGCAGUGAAUUUUCAGAUGGCUAUUAUUGCUCAUCCUAGAGGAGAGAUACUAGGUAAUAGAGGACAACGUGGAGAAAAAGAAGAGGAAAAUUAUUAUCCAAGUUAAUAAGAUGAAGACUUUUGAGUAAAAAAAUACACGUAUUAAUCAAUUCAUGAACAAAGAGCUAACAUUGUAACAAGAUCACGAAAGUAAAUUAAAAUUAGUUCCACAUAACACAUAAUUCUCGUGGAAAAAUAUAAGUCUGGCAGUCUUUUUAGCAUCAACGCUCCCUCACUUCUAUUUGAAACUAGGAAAAGGUGUUCAAGAACAAUUGUUUUUCAUUCGUCCUAUGCCCAACAAAAUUUUCUACAUUCAAUAUUUAAUAAAACUUAAUUGCCUAUGCCUAAUAUUGCACCAUUGAAGUUGGGCAAUUAGCCCAUACAACUGAAAUUGAAUGAAGCAGCAACCACAUUGCAGAAGGCAAAAGUGCGACUGCCUCACGUGGAGCUAUUCCUGAAUAGAAACCCCAACCAGUUGAACAGUAACAACUCUACACAUUCAGCUCAACAAAAGUAGUAGAUUUUGUUUGGUAUAACUUUUCAAGUAAAUCUUAUUUAAGUAGAGUUUUUGUUAGUACAGCUUUUACCAAAAAAAUAUUAAUUGUUUGGUUGUCAAUAUCAGCCUUUAUUAAAAAUUUAUGCAAUUAUUUUAAUAGACAAGUUUUGUAAAGUUAUGUUAUGAAAAGAAUAAAAUAAGAUUGUUAAAUAAGUAUAGGAUAUUUUAUAUAUUUUAACAUUUUAAAAAAAGAUUUUCAACCUCUAUUCCCAAAAAUCUAAAAUUUGAAAUUUUGUUAGUAGAGACAAAAUAGCUUAUUUAAGCUUCAUGAAUUGAUUAAUAUGUGUAUUUUUUUUACUCAAAAGUCUUCAUCUUAUUAACUUGGAUAAUAAUUUUGCUCUUCUUUUUCUCCGCGUUGUCCUCUAUUACCUAAUAUCUCUCCUCUAGGAUGAGCAAUAAUACCCAUCUGAAAAUUCAUUGGUUUGUCAGUGUUUGAUUUAUGACAAGUGGAUUUCUCAUCCCACAAUUUUUUUGGGCCAAAUGAGAAAUAAUAUGCUAUUAAUUAGGGGCGGCUCAAUCAUAUUUUUGGCCUUAGGCAAAUUGUUUUAUUAGACCUUCCAAAGAAUUUGAGGUAAAAUGUGUGUAUUAAUUUUAUUAAAAUUUUAUUUAUUUAAAAUCAAUUCUCUAACUUCUAGUAUGCAAAAUUAUUAAUCAAAUUUUUAUAUUCUAAUUUCCCUAAUAUUUCUUUCUCAAUAGACAAUAUAGUUAACCUAUUUAAUAUUUUGUAUGAUAUAGUUGAUCUUAAAUAAGUUUUCAUCAAUGGCUCCUUUUUGAGACUAAACUAACUUUUUUAUUCUUCUCUUCUUUUUGAAGUUUUUGUAUCCUAAUGCAUAUUUUUUUAGUAGACAUUUUUUUUUCUAGUGAAACAAGAGUAAUUAAGCAAACAAUUAUGCUAGAUAAUUAUGAGAAAACAACCUAUGAACACAAUAAUAUUUUUAAAAAGAAACUAAAACAAUUGAAUAACAUAAUUAAUUAAUAAGUGGAUGGAAAGAUAGAACUUGGAAAUUUGAGAACUUCAACUUUGAUGGAUUGAGCUUUGAGUAGCAGAUGGAAAGUAAAACAAUUGAUUUUUUUUUCCUUAAGUGAAAAGUAGGGUAGAGAAAGUAGUUUUUUUCACCAAAACAAUGAAGGUCUCAUGUAUUUUUUUUAAUUGGGAAAAGAUAUUAAUGGAUAAUAAUUUAAAAAAAUAUGUGACCUUUAUAGAGUUUUAGAUGAAAUAUAUGGAGGAAAUAAAUAGGAUUAAAAUUGUUAAUUAUAAUGUUAAAAGGGAACUUUGUAAGGAUUAGUAGUUUGUUUAUGGAAAGUAUAGUUAUAAAAUAAUAAUAAAUAUAAAUAAAUAAUUAAUAACUAUAACUUAGAAAUAAAAUUAGGGGCCUUUAUUUAUAAUGGGGCCCUAGGCAACCGCCUAAGUUGCCUAGGGAAGAGCCGCCUAUGAUCAACGUCUCUAUCGCGACGAGCACUCUCACAAACCCUAACUAGCACAGCAAACCUAGCAAACCCUCUCCCCACAGGAACUCUCCUAGCAUUCCAACUCCUCACUCCCAUCUUCACCAAUAAUGGGUCCUGUGACGCCGCUACACGCCCCACGCUCCUCCUCCUCCUCAUCCUCGCCGCAUCUUGCUUCCUCGCCUCCUUCACCGACAGUGUCAAGUCAUCAUCCAGCAAACAAGUGUACUACGGUUUUGCCACCUUCAAAGGGUUGUUUUUAUUUGAUUAUAUUCAAAACCCUAAUGCCUCAGAUCAUGAUCUGCCAGAUUUAAGGAAGUACAGGAUCAGAUUCAUCGACGGUGUGCAUGCAGUUUUGUCUGUCAUUGUGUUUGCUGCUGCGGCUUUGAGAGACAAGAACGUUUUGUCUUGCUUUUUUCCGACGCCGAAACAUGAAACUCAAGAGGUUUUGGACAUUGUUCCUGUCGGAAUAGGGCUUAUUUGCAGCUUNNNNNNNNNNNNNNNNNNNNNNNNNNNNNNNNNNNNNNNNNNNNNNNNNNNNNNNNNNNNNNNNNNNNNNNNNNNNNNNNNNNNNNNNNNNNNNNNNNNNNNNNNNNNNNNNNNNNNNNNNNNNNNNNNNNNNNNNNNNNNNNNNNNNNNNNNNNNNNNNNNNNNNNNNNNNNNNNNNNNNNNNNNNNNNNNNNNNNNNNNNNNNNNNNNNNNNNNNNNNNNNNNNNNNNNNNNNNNNNNNNNNNNNNNNNNNNNNNNNNNNNNNNNNNNNNNNNNNNNNNNNNNNNNNNNNNNNNNNNNNNNNNNNNNNNNNNNNNNNNNNNNNNNNNNNNNNNNNNNNNNNNNNNNNNNNNNNNNNNNNNNNNNNNNNNNNNNNNNNNNNNNNNNNNNNNNNNNNNNNNNNNNNNNNNNNNNNNNNNNNNNNNNNNNNNNNNNNNNNNNNNNNNNNNNNNNNNNNNNNNNNNNNNNNNNNNNNNNNNNNNNNNNNNNNNNNNNNNNNNNNNNNNNNNNNNNNNNNNNNNNNNNNNNNNNNNNNNNNNNNNNNNNNNNNNNNNNNNNNNNNNNNNNNNNNNNNNNNNNNNNNNNNNNNNNNNNNNNNNNNNNNNNNNNNNNNNNNNNNNNNNNNNNNNNNNNNNNNNNNNNNNNNNNNNNNNNNNNNNNNNNNNNNNNNNNNNNNNNNNNNNNNNNNNNNNNNNNNNNNNNNNNNNNNNNNNNNNNNNNNNNNNNNNNNNNNNNNNNNNNNNNNNNNNNNNNNNNNNNNNNNNNNNNNNNNNNNNNNNNNNNNNNNNNNNNNNNNNNNNNNNNNNNNNNNNNNNNNNNNNNNNNNNNNNNNNNNNNNNNNNNNNNNNNNNNNNNNNNNNNNNNNNNNNNNNNNNNNNNNNNNNNNNNNNNNNNNNNNNNNNNNNNNNNNNNNNNNNNNNNNNNNNNNNNNNNNNNNNNNNNNNNNNNNNNNNNNNNNNNNNNNNNNNNNNNNNNNNNNNNNNNNNNNNNNNNNNNNNNNNNNNNNNNNNNNNNNNNNNNNNNNNNNNNNNNNNNNNNNNNNNNNNNNNNNNNNNNNNNNNNNNNNNNNNNNNNNNNNNNNNNNNNNNNNNNNNNNNNNNNNNNNNNNNNNNNNNNNNNNNNNNNNNNNNNNNNNNNNNNNNNNNNNNNNNNNNNNNNNNNNNNNNNNNNNNNNNNNNNNNNNNNNNNNNNNNNNNNNNNNNNNNNNNNNNNNNNNNNNNNNNNNNNNNNNNNNNNNNNNNNNNNNNNNNNNNNNNNNNNNNNNNNNNNNNNNNNNNNNNNNNNNNNNNNNNNNNNNNNNNNNNNNNNNNNNNNNNNNNNNNNNNNNNNNNNNNNNNNNNNNNNNNNNNNNNNNNNNNNNNNNNNNNNNNNNNNNNNNNNNNNNNNNNNNNNNNNNNNNNNNNNNNNNNNNNNNNNNNNNNNNNNNNNNNNNNNNNNNNNNNNNNNNNNNNNNNNNNNNNNNNNNNNNNNNNNNNNNNNNNNNNNNNNNNNNNNNNNNNNNNNNNNNNNNNNNNNNNNNNNNNNNNNNNNNNNNNNNNNNNNNNNNNNNNNNNNNNNNNNNNNNNNNNNNNNNNNNNNNNNNNNNNNNNNNNNNNNNNNNNNNNNNNNNNNNNNNNNNNNNNNNNNNNNNNNNNNNNNNNNNNNNNNNNNNNNNNNNNNNNNNNNNNNNNNNNNNNNNNNNNNNNNNNNNNNNNNNNNNNNNNNNNNNNNNNNNNNNNNNNNNNNNNNNNNNNNNNNNNNNNNNNNNNNNNNNNNNNNNNNNNNNNNNNNNNNNNNNNNNNNNNNNNNNNNNNNNNNNNNNNNNNNNNNNNNNNNNNNNNNNNNNNNNNNNNNNNNNNNNNNNNNNNNNNNNNNNNNNNNNNNNNNNNNNNNNNNNNNNNNNNNNNNNNNNNNNNNNNNNNNNNNNNNNNNNNNNNNNNNNNNNNNNNNNNNNNNNNNNNNNNNNNNNNNNNNNNNNNNNNNNNNNNNNNNNNNNNNNNNNNNNNNNNNNNNNNNNNNNNNNNNNNNNNNNNNNNNNNNNNNNNNNNNNNNNNNNNNNNNNNNNNNNNNNNNNNNNNNNNNNNNNNNNNNNNNNNNNNNNNNNNNNNNNNNNNNNNNNNNNNNNNNNNNNNNNNNNNNNNNNNNNNNNNNNNNNNNNNNNNNNNNNNNNNNNNNNNNNNNNNNNNNNNNNNNNNNNNNNNNNNNNNNNNNNNNNNNNNNNNNNNNNNNNNNNNNNNNNNNNNNNNNNNNNNNNNNNNNNNNNNNNNNNNNNNNNNNNNNNNNNNNNNNNNNNNNNNNNNNNNNNNNNNNNNNNNNNNNNNNNNNNNNNNNNNNNNNNNNNNNNNNNNNNNNNNNNNNNNNNNNNNNNNNNNNNNNNNNNNNNNNNNNNNNNNNNNNNNNNNNNNNNNNNNNNNNNNNNNNNNNNNNNNNNNNNNNNNNNNNNNNNNNNNNNNNNNNNNNNNNNNNNNNNNNNNNNNNNNNNNNNNNNNNNNNNNNNNNNNNNNNNNNNNNNNNNNNNNNNNNNNNNNNNNNNNNNNNNNNNNNNNNNNNNNNNNNNNNNNNNNNNNNNNNNNNNNNNNNNNNNNNNNNNNNNNNNNNNNNNNNNNNNNNNNNNNNNNNNCUCCUAGCAUUCCAACUCCUCACUCCCAUCUUCACCAAUAAUGGGUCCUGUGACGCCGCUACACGCCCCACGCUCCUCCUCCUCCUCAUCCUCGCCGCAUCUUGCUUCCUCGCCUCCUUCACCGACAGUGUCAAGUCAUCAUCCAGCAAACAAGUGUACUACGGUUUUGCCACCUUCAAAGGGUUGUUUUUAUUUGAUUAUAUU